UGGAUCUGAGAGAAAGCAUCAUCAACCAAAACAACUUCGCUCUGGGGCUGACGAAGCAGCUGCUUCAGACCGAAGGCAAGCAAUCGAACCUCGUGUACUCGCCGCUGUCCAUCCACGUGCUGUUGAGCCUGAUCGCGGCCGGGUCAAAGGGUCCGACUCAGGACCAGCUGCUGUCUUUUCUCCAGUCAAAGUCCACCGACCACCUCAGCUCCUUCGCCGCCGAGCUCGUCUCUGUGAUUUUCUCCGAUGGGUCCCCUAGCGGCGGCCCCCAGCUGUCGUUUGCAAAUGGUGGUUGGGUGGACAGGCGUCUCCCUCUGAAGCCAUCUUUCAAGCAGGUGGUGGAAACUUCUUACAUGGCCGCUCUCACCCAAGUCGAUUUUCAGACCAAUGUAAGCUCCCAAACCCUCUGUCCUGUCGUUUCGAUUUUUUUUUCGACGAUGCUCUUGAUCAAAGUCUUCUAUUUUUUCGAUGUGAUUAGAGAUGCUUGUUCCUUUGGGGUGCGUUUGGUACGCAGACGGAACGGGACGGAACGAAGGUGUAAUUUUUGAAAAAGGUAUAUUUGUCUUAAAAUGGUAAAACAUUGCGUUCCACAAACGUGGAACAAACCCGUUCUAGGGGGGAGGUGGAACGCAAAAACACUCAAAAUCUGUCCCGUGGAACAGCCCGUUCCACCCAUUUUUGGCGCACCAAACGAGGGACGGAACGACUCGUCCCGUUCCGUCCCGUCCCGUCCCACGUACCAAACGCACCCUUGUUGAACCUAAAUUGUAGGCCUGCUUCUCUAAUCAUUACUGUUUGUGUUAAAUUAUUAUUGCCAAGAACUAGAUUAAGUUGCAGUAAUCACAAUCAAGUAAAGCACAAAAACCUUUUCAUAUAAAAGCAUUGCAAUUCACUAACCUGAUGAACCGCCACCUGAAGACGCCAUGAAUGCUGCAAACCGAUCUCAGUGCACUGUAACUCUUCUCCUAUGAUGCACGGAUACUUCUAUUUGGUCCCGUAUCUCCCGUAUCCCGUAUCCGAUACUUGAUUGGAUACGAUACUUGCCCGAUACUCUUGGAUACUCGUCCGACAUGUAUCCUGGUCCUGCUUUUAAGAUACAUUUACACUUUCAAAAAAAAGUAAUGAGGAAGAGAAAAUUAAUAGGAGACAUCUAUAAUUGAAAGUUGCUAAAUACAAAGAGUUUCCCUCUAAUUAAAACCAUGAAUACGACUCUCACACUUCUUCUACUAUAUAAAGAGGAUUAGAUUUCGAACUUUCAUUCUCUAACAAUUCAAAUGUACUUGAAUUUGAAUGAUGAAUUAUGUUUUAAAAUGUAAAUUUUUGUUGCUAUAUACAUUUUUAUUUGCCGUAUCCAUAGCGUAUCGUAUCUUAAUUUUUGGAGAUUUUCCGUAUCGUCGUAUCGUAUCGCUGUAUCCGUAUCCGUAUCCAUGUUUCAUAGCUCUUCUCCUCUCUGUCAGAUUAUUUCAACCUCUAACCAAGAAUAGGGCUUAGUUCCGAAGAGAGCACUAAUCCGUGAGAGUAGAGGUCACAAUAUAUAUAUAUAUAUAUAUAUAUAUAUAUAUAGGAUUAAUGAACAAAUAUUUUUAGAAACAUUUUUACACUUCUUUAUUGCCUUUAGAUUUUAUAACAUGCAAGGAUUCUUAUUAAUUCAUUAAAUGCUAUGAAUGCUUACGUGAAAUUUAACUAAUAUUAAAGCUAAAAAUAAUUUUUUUUUUUUUAAAAUUCGUAGCUGUAAUCAUGAAAAUGGGGAAUGUGGUCUACAACCUCAUUCUCCCCAACUCUACAACUUCCACACUCGAAUAUUCUUAGGUAAGCAAAACAAAACCCUAAAAUUUAUAUUAUUGUUCAUAUAAGUAGGGUGAUUAAAUUAUAUUUUGGAAUUUUUUUUUAGUUUUGUCAAGUCAUGUAUUUGACGGGUUCUUUUCAAAUCUAACAAACAACCAUCUCAAUAUGCAGUCCAUGUGUUUCGAUUGAAAAUUUGUUGAAACAUGGAAAUGAAACGAGGCAAGAAAAUCAAUAUCUAAGUUACAAUCUGGAACCAAAAGCAUACAUUCUCAUAUGUACUGACAUCAAAAUGCAGGAACGUUACAUAAGCCACCCUUUUGAGUUCAAUCGAGAUUCGAAACAUAUGACAGCGUAUUGAGAUAGUUGUUUGUUUGAUUUGAAAAACUAAAGGAGUAGAAAAAUCUUCAAAUACAUGAACAGACAACUAUAUUUUGUUUCCAAAUCCGAAUUUAAUCAUCAUACAUAUGCGAACAAUAAUAUCAAAUUUAGGUUUUUGUUUUGCUUGCCUAAUGAGAUUCAAGCAUGGAAGUUGCAGACCUGGGGGAGAUAGGAGUUUGCAGGCGUGGAGGUUGCAGAGACCUCUUUUAGGGUUUCUUCCUUUUUAAUUUUUUUUUAAAUUUUUUUUUCUUCCAAAUUUUAUGUUUUUUUUUAUCUUUAAUAUUAGUUAAAAUCUACAUAAGCAGUCAUGGUGUUUAAUGAAUGAAUAAGAACCAUUGGAUGUUAUAAAAUCUAAAGGCUACAAAGAAGUGUAAAAAUGUUUGUAAAAAUAUUUGUCCCUUAAUCCUAUCCCUAUAUAUAUAGGCACAUAAAUUUCAUAACUCAAUAAGGAUUCCCUUUAAAAUCCUUUUAGAAAACAACUUAUGUUUCCCAAUUCAAAUCAGUUUAAUGUCAAAACAGAAUCCUUCGUAAACAAGAAUUAGUAUACAACCUCUCAUAAGGUUUUCUUAUACCAAUUGGACUUAAUGCUGUCAAAACAUCCAAUCUCAUGUUCAUACUCUUACUGUUUGUGCUUGUUCUUCUGCAUAGCUUAGCUGGCUAUUACAGAAUCAUAUCGUAAUUCGUAGAUUUUUGUUAUAGUACGGUCAUCACUACGUUAAUAGUAUUGAAGUAACAUGCAGGCUGAUAUAUUAUUGUUUUCUAACUUGUCGUAACUGUUGUUGGUGCUCAAGGCUGCUCAAGUGGCCUCGGGAGUGAAUUCAUGGGCUGAAAAGGAGACGAGAGGCCUUAUCAAGGAGGUACUUCCUCCUGGGUCAGUUGACUGCUCAACCACGCUCAUCUUUGCAAAUGCGUUAUACUUCAAAGGAGCUUGGACUGAAAAGUUUGAUGCAUCACAAACGAAAGAGCAUGAUUUCCACCUUCUCGAUGGGAGCGCAGUUAAGGUGCCCUUCAUGACCAACAGGAAGAAGCAGUGUGUAAGAUCCUUCAAUGGUUUCUCAGUCUUAGGGCUUCAUUACAAGCAAGGUGAAGACAAGCGAUGUUUCUCCAUGCACAUCUUUCUUCCAGAGGCGAAAGAUGGGCUGCCAGCUUUGGUUGAGAAACUUGGUUCUGAGUCCGGGUUUUUGGAUCGCCAUCUUCCCAAGCAAAAAAUUGCCGUGGGUAAUUUCAGGAUUCCAAAGUUUAAGAUUUCAUUUGGGUUUGAAGCUUCGAAUGUCCUUAAAGGUCUGGGCUUGGUGCUGCCAUUCGGUGGUGGAGGAGGUUUGACAGAGAUGGUGGACUCGCCUGAGGGUAAGAACUUAUACGUGUCCAGCAUUUUCCAUAAGUCGUUCAUCGAAGUGAACGAAGAAGGCACGGAAGCCGCAGCUGCUUCCGCCUUUCGUAAAACUAUGCUGUGUCUGCCGAGGGCGGUUGACUUUGUGGCUGAUCGUCCAUUCCUCUUCUUGGUCAAGGAAGAAUUGACCGGAGCCGUGCUGUUCAUCGGCCAUGUACUCAAUCCUCUUGCAGGCUGAGUGUUGUUAUACCCUGUGAAAUACAAAUGUAUACGAAGAACCACACGAGAAUAUAUAUAUAUAUAUAUAUAUAUAUAUAUAUAUAUAUAUAUAUAUAUAUAGGAAUUGCUUAAGGGGAGGGAUCCCCAUUUUUUCAAAAAAAUGGGGACACGCUCCCCACCGUUGGAUUUGAAUUAAAUGAAAUCCUGUGGUUGAGAUUCUAUGGCCUGUGUUUUAAUCUCAACCACACAAUUUCAUUAAAGUCAAUCUAACGGUGGGGAGCGUGUCCCCAUUUUUUUUAAAAAAAUGGGGAUCCCUCCCCUUAAGCUCCCUGUAUAUAUAUAUAUAAUGUACAAAAAUGCUAAUCUUGUCAUCUAUUUGUAACAUCUCUCUAAUAAAGAUGGAUCCACAUGCACUGGCGGGCCUUACAUCUACUAGAUAGAUGGUACAAAUAGGUGUUAAGUAUAGCAAUCAUGUAUUCAUAAACAAAAAUGCUAUUCUUACUAUUUAGUUUGAUCAUCUUUCAAUAGAGAUGAGACCUAUAUGUGUUGGCUGAUCUUAUCCUUAUUAAAAAAAUAAUACAAAUGAUGGUAACUAGAUGAUAAGUAUAGCAUUACUCUAAAAUAAAUGUAUGAUAUCAUGUUCAUGUGGUCUUGUUUCUCUCAUGUGGCUUUUGUUAUGCGUUCUGCCUUGGCUACACGAAACCGUUGGAAAUGCUUUGGGAUAGGCGUUUUACCCAUUAUUGUUGGAAAUGCUUUUUUCUUCGGUUGUACUGGAAUGGUUUGGACUAGACGUGUUUUUUUAAUUUAGUGGUUGAUUGUCUCAGUGAAUAGUCAUUCCUCAUUCAUUUGUGUUUUGGGUUCAAGUUCUCUUCUUCUCCUAGUCUAGUUAAAGUAAUGUCGCUUGUAAUAAAAAAUAAUUUAUAAACCCAAUUGAUUGAUAUUUAUUACACGUUUACUUAACAUGAGGUGGACAAGGCAAGAAACAAAUGUUAGAGAGAUUAUGUUUUUAGAUUUUAUUUCGUAGACCAUUUGGUGUGGUAGUUGAUUAUUAGUUUCUUUAUUUUUAAAUCAUUAAAGAAGAAAUUCAACCAUCAAUCGCCACACUAAGUGAUCUACAAAAUAUAGUUUAAGUAAAUGAUCCCCCUAUCAUCUCCAAAUUUUAUUUAUAUCAUUAAACACAUAAAAAAUAAAGGGUUACAUAGUAAGUAUGUCAUUAAGGUCAAAAACUUUGAAACAUAAAUACAAUUAGACACCUCUUAAGAUUCAAUUGUAAUAAGACCACUUAAAAAUAAGGUCCAGUUAGACCCGACAAUUUCGUACAUGAUUCAUUGACGCGACACUGAACGAUACUAAAAUAACAAGUUUCAUAUUAAGGUCAAAAACUUUGAAACGUAAAUACAAUUAGACACCUCUUAAGGUUCAAUUGUAAUAAGACCACUUAAAAAUAAGGUCCAAUUAGACCCGACAAUUUCGUACAUGAUUCAUUAACGCGACACUGAACGAUACUAAAAUAACAAGUUUCAUAUUAACACGUUAUUUAAUCGGAUAUAACAAGCCACUCGUUAAUAAUGAGUUAUUAACAGAUUUAUCCGUAAAUAAAUUGUUUCAACCUAUUAUUAUAUAAAGUUAGUGUUAAUGCAGGGUCCUUUUUGACCCCUAGAACAAUGCAGGCCCAAUAAAGAAGAAAAGUUCAAGUCUUAGUGCUAGGCAAAUUGUGGCAUAUUAAGCUAGGCUGGUGUGCUAGGCAAAAGGGACUAGGAUUCUCUCCUUUCAUUUUUCCAUCUCCUCUUCUUACAUUCUUUAUUUUGUUUUUCUCUUUCUAUAAAAAAUUAAUAUAAGAUAUUAACGUGACUUAACCGUGACCGUUCAAAUAUGAGGAGAAGGAAGAUGAGGGAAAAAAGAGGGGAGAGAAUCCUACUCCAGACAAAAGUGCUAGGCAUACAAUAUAAAUAGAACUUUAGGGUUUUAUUCUUUGUACGAGAUACAUAAGAAUUACAAGGGAAACACUUUCAGAAAUUGUAGGGGUGUGAGAUACUAGAAAAUAGGAUUUGCAAAAGCAGAUGGGGUUUUCUUGUAAAGUGGCCAAGUCAAACAUAAGUUCAAGCUUGUUUCCAACAUCCAAAUUCUUGAAAUCCAACAGUACAGCACGUGCAGGACCACCCAACGUAUCAUUGUAUUUUAUAUACAGGAUAAACAGAGCUGAAAUUUAAGCAGCAAUUUGAUUUUGAUUUGAGCACAUGCAACCACAUCUGCACGCGUUUGUCUUGCUAGAGCUUUUUCCUUGCAUACGCUUUGAUUUGUUUUUCCUUUUAUUCAAGUACUCUUUGAUUUUAUGUAAGGGAGUUUUAAUGGAAAACGUUUCACACAACAAAAUUUUCAAUGAAAAACACAUUAAUGAUUUUUUAAUAAAUUUUUUGAAUUGUCGGUUUUAUGAAGAAACAAUUGUUUGUUUUAAUUUUAACUUAAUUGUAAUAUUGUCACUGCGCCUAAAUUUUAACUUAUUUACAAUACUAUCACCGUCUUUUGCCCUUGUAAUCAAACAAAAUUCAUUAAGUGUUUUUGGAUAGAUAAAAAAAAAUUGAGAUCAUUUUCAUUAGCUUUUCUUUAUGUAGAUGAUAUUAAAGGAAAAGAGACAAUGGAAAAGGAAAAGAGUUGUUCGGACUUUAUGCAUCUUUGUCUGUAACUCCUUACACUAUAAAUAAGAAUUAGGACCAAAGUCGUCCUUCUGAAAAUUGAUGCUUAAGACAAGAAUGAAUGAGGCUUUCCUACCGUAAUACUUUAAUAUAAUUCCAUUUAGCAAACAAGUGAAAUUGGAAACUUUUUGACCCAAUUUACAUAUCAUCUCCACGUCAAUACAAAUUUGAGAGUAUAGGUUUUUUUUUUUUUGGGUUACUGAUAUAUUCAACUCCAAAUGUCUUCACAUUAUGUAGUCUCAUAGUACCAUACCAAACCCCGUACAUUUUUACAUGUCCUCUCCUAGUAUUUGACCCGGUUUGAAAUAGUAUUUUAUUCUUUUAAUAUUAACACACAUGUGAAAUUAAAAUUGAAGAUCUCUGCCAAAACUGAAAGGAUAAGUGUUACGACCAAUUCCAAUCCUUGAACCCAAAUUCAAAAAUUUGGGUCCACUAGAAGACAAAAUUUAGCUAUGUAAACAGACCCUCCAGACCUAAGUUUCAGAACUUAAAAUGUAUUAAUUAUUUUAGAGAAACUUUGAGUUAUGUUAUCUUAAUUUAGUUUUAUGAAUGUUUUAACCUAAAAAAAUUUAAAUUCCUACAAAAUUUCCAAAACGGAACAAACUACACCAACCAACCACUAACCCACCAAACUUCAAUGUAUACAUCAACCAACCAAACUUCAAUAUACAAUACCAAAUAUGCAUAUUAUUUUGAUCGUUGAAUUUAAAUUUCAGCGUUGGAUCGUUUUUACCAUUGGAUUUGACAAAAACAAAUAUGGAUUGUUCAAUCAAUUUCAAAGGAUUGCCCAAAAUAGAGAGUUUGAUCUGGACCAUUGAUAACCAAUGGUCCAAAAAUCAAAAGGCCACAGUUUUUAUUGGACAGCUGAGUUCCUUGCCAUGUGGGGGCUAGUUGUCGGCUACUAACUCUUAGAUCAGCCAAAUUUAAACCCAAAUUUUGAUUUUGAUUUGGAUCCAAACCCAAAUAUUUUAGGUAUGAGUCUCAGCUUUAGGUGGCAAAUUUUUGUGUUCAAACCCAAAUAUUUGAGUUUGGGUCUAAGGGCUGGAGUUGGUCUAAUAGAUCAAAAGCUAAUUCUUGGAAAAAUAGAUUUGUGAGACUAUAAUUUACACCUCUCUAGAACAUAAUAUGUUCACAUAUUAGCCCUAAACAAUGACAUCAAAGGAGAGGAAAAAUGAGAAGGAAAAGGAGAAAGUAAAUGUAGAAAAGGAAGGGGUGAGAAUGAGAGAAAAUUCCGGAGAAUAGAGAAAAGAAGGGAAAAGAAGACAAGAAAUUUUGGAGAAAAGAGAAAAAGAAGAAGGGAAAAGAAGAAAAGAAAAGGAGAAGGGAAAGUGAGAGGCAAGCUUCGAAGAGCAGAGAAAAAGAGGGAAAAAGAAAAGGAAAGGAAAGUCACCUCCAUCGUUAUGUCUACUAAUUGUUACCCAUUUUCUUACAAAUGGGAGUGCGAGACUGAAAAAGAAGAAAGAAAAAAAAAAAAACAUGGCCAGACAUCCAGAAAAUAUACAAAUACGCCAAAGAACAAAUUGCUCCCAAUUUCCCUUGUUUCUUGUUGUAAAUAAUGGGUAUGUUUGCCCACAUGUGUAUAGUAAUGUGUAUAGUAAAGUAUCACAUGUGUAUACUAUAUACUCAUAAGCUAAAUAGUAAUGUUUUGUAAUUUUCCAUUGAAGUAGCUCUAUAAAUAGAGCACUUCAAUUGUGCAAAGAUGAGUGAAUGAGAAGAAGAAAGAAAAGAGAAAUAUAUCUAAUAGCAAUAAUAUACAUUACUUCCUCUGCAACAGCUUGUGUCGGUAUAUUACUCUGCAACUGCUUCGUUCCUUCACCGAGUAAAGGUUAUCUCUCUAUAAAUUUUGCCUAUUUAUAACACGUUAUCAGCACGACUCUCUAAUCAUUUCUCAUUUCCUUUCACCGAAUGAAAAAAAAAAAAAGUUUCCUCUAAGGUUUUUACUGUUCUUCUUCUUCCUCUCCCUCAAUUGCUGGGUAUACCCUCGCGAAGAACUAUUUGCACCAUGUUUACUUCUAGUUCUCCAACUAACAUUCACUUAUAUUCUUGAUUUCUUGUUUGGUGUAGAUAUUGACUACUAACCCACUGAUUAUUUAUGCAAUCCAAGAUUGUGCGGUUCUAUCGCCUAUCUUGGACUGCAGAUCUAAUUUUACUGCAAAUUUUAAGUGGAGCGGUAUAAUCGCCCGCUCUAUCCUGCAUAUUUAAAUUUGCCCGUUAUUUAAUUUUAUCGCAAUUUUAGGUGGUGUGAAAUAAUCACCCACCCUGCUUUACAUAUUUAAUUUUAUCGCAAUUUUAGGUGGUGUGAAAUAAUCACCCACCCUGCUUUACAUAUUUAAAUUUUAUCGCAAUUUUAAGUGGUGCGGUAUAAUCGUCUACCCUGCUUUGCAUAUUUAAUUUUAUCGCAAUUUUAGGUGGUGCGGUAUAAUCGUCCACCAUGCUUUGCAUAUUUAAAUUUUAUCGCAAUUUUAGGUGGUGCGGUAUAAUCGUCCACCUUGCUCUACAUAUUUAAAUUUUCCUGCUGUUUAAAGUAGUGCGGAAUAAUCGUUCAUCCUAUACUUAUUUCGAUGAGAAUGGUGCGGUACAAUUGCCCUUCUCAUUAAUUGUGUAAAUCUCGAGCCUGAAGUUUCGAGUACUUAUCAUUUUGGCCUGAAGAUCAAAAAUUUGUAAGAACCAGAAGUUCUAACAAUAUAUUUCUCCAGUACACAUAUUACUGCAAGUUCUUACACACCUCAUUUUUCUUUCAGAAAAGAAAAUGGCAAACUUGGCAAAACUUGAUUUUGCUGCCCUGGACAUUACUGGAAAGAAUUACCUUACAUGGGUACUGGAUACCAAGAUCCAUCUGGAAGCAGCAAAUCUUGGAGAUACCAUCAAGGAAGAAAGCAGCUCAUCCUCUCAAGAUCGGGCAAAGGCCAUGAUUUUUAUUCGUCGCCAUCUUGAUGAGGCACUAAAGAGCGAGUACUUAACGGUUGAAGAUCCGUUAGCCCUUUGGAAUGCCUUGAAAAGCAGAUACAAUCACCAGACAACGGUGAUUCUUCCAAAAGCUCGCUAUGACUGGACUCACCUAAGGAUCCAGGAUUUCAAAUCAGUGGCUGAGUACAAUUCGGCGUUGUUCAGAAUUACCUCUCAGAUGAAACUCUGUGGGGAUACUAUCACUGAGGAGAUGUUAUUGGAAAAGACUUUCAGCACAUUCCACGCCUCUAACAUGGUAUUGCAACAGCAGUAUAGAGCGCGAGGCUUCACUGAAUACAACCAGCUGAUAUAUGUGCUCCUGGUAGCUGAACAGAACAAUGAGCUUCUCAUGAAAAACCAUAAUUCCCGACCUACUGGAUCAACACCGUUCCCAGAAGUGAAUGUUGCUUCCCUUGAAAGGAAUAUCAUAUCCUCCCGUGGCAAUAAUUACAAACGAGGACGUGGCCACAAGCAAGGUCGGUGGAAAGGGAAAAGCAAGAACCAUGGUGUCCAGUUUCACAACCAGGUUCCAAGGUAUAAUCCAGGCUCGAGCUUUAAAAAUACCAAUCGCCAGAAAGGAAAAGCUCAUGUGAACACUCCUAGAAGUCAUGAAGGAGGUUGCCAUAGGUGUGGUGGCAACGGACAUUUGGCGCGUACUUGUCGCACCCCAAAGCAUCUGGUGGAACUAUAUCAAGCCUCCUUCAAGGAGAAGGGUGUCGAGAUCAAUUUCCUUGACCAGGCUAAACCAAUGGAAACCCCUGAUCCAGUGACCAAUUUAUCAUGACAGUUAAACACAACCCACCUGGAUGCUACAGACUUUAUUAAUGAAAGAGGGAAUGAAGUUUAUGGGUCCGAUUGAAUUAUUUAUGUUUAAUGUACUCAUGUUAUUUGUACCUGUGGUUUAAUGCUCGCAUUUUCAAUUCAAUAAAAGUAGUAUUCCAGUAUGAAUAAACUGCUUUUUCUUUACUCAGAGAUCAUGGAUAAAAAUUAUGGUUAUUCUCAAAACAAGAUCAAUGGCGGAGACUUUUGUCUUGCAGAUAGCGCAACCACGCAUUCAAUACUUCGAGAUUGAAAGUAUUUCUCGAAUUUGGUACUUGCAAAGUAAAGGUAACAACAAUAUCAUGACCAUCAGAUGUAAUUGAAGGCUCAGGAAAAGCCCAGAUUAUGUUACCAAAUGGAACAAUAUUGUCUAUAAAGAAUGCAUUAUAUGCUACUCGGUCCAUUCGAAAUUUGUUGAGUUUUAAAAGCAUACGUCUAAAUGGAUACCACCUUGAAACGAAAAGUGUAGAAAAUGUGGAAUAUUUAUGCAUUACCUCCAAUGAUACCCAGAAGCGUAUAUUGGAGAAGUUGCAUGGUUUAUCGAGUGGAUUGUAUUGUACAUACAUAAAGACAGUUGAGGCAUAUACUGUCAUGAACCAGAAGUUCAUUGAUUCAAAGGUUUACAUGUUUUGGCAUGACCGUCUAGGUCAUCCAGGAUCUACCAUGAUGCGUAGAAUCAUUACCAACUCUAAUGGACAUCCAUUACUGAGCAGACACAUUAAUGUCUCGAAUGAUAAUCCUUGCAAGGCUUGUUCCCAAGGGAAGUUGGUAAUUAGACCAUCACAACUAAAGGUUGAUGAUGAAUCCCCAUCAUUUUUGCAAAGAAUUCAAGGGGAUAUUUGUGGACCUAUUCAACCACCUUGUGGACCAUUUCGAUAUUUUAUGGUUUUGAUUGAUGCAUCUACCCGAUGGUCACAUGUUUGCCUAUUGUCUACUUGAAAUGUAGCUUUUUGCGAGACUUCUUGCUCAGAUAAUUAAGUUGCGAGCACAGUUCCCAGAUCAUCCCAUUAAGUCCAUUCGACUUGAUAACGCUGGUGAAUUUACGUCUCAAACCUUUGAUGAUUACUGUAUGGCACUGGGCAUUAAUGUUGAACACCCUGUUCCUCAUGUCCAUACUCAAAAUGGUUUAGCAGAGGCAUUUAUCAAGCGGCUUCAAUUAAUAGCCCGCACUCUGCUCAUGAAAACGAAAUUUGCCAGUUUCUACAUGGGGACAUGCCAUAAUUACAUGCUGCAUCAUUGGUUAGAUUGAGACCCAUAGCCAACCACCAAUACUCAUCAAUACAACUCGUGUUUGGACAUCAGCCAAAUAUUUCACAUUUACGAGUUUUUGGUUGUGCUGCUUAUGUGCCUAUUGCACCACCACAACGAACUAAAAUGGGACCUCAACGCAGAUUGGGAAUUUAUGUGGGUUUUGAUUCACCAUCUAUCAUUAGAUAUUUGGAACCUUUGACUGGUGAUGUGUUUACAGCUCGUUUUGCUGAUUGUCAUUUUGAUGAGACAGUUUUCCCGUCGUUAGGGGGAGAAAAGACUGUUCCAGAAGAACGACAAGAGCUAACAUGGGUUGUUCCCACCUUAUCUCAUUUUGAUCCAAGAAGCACUCAAUGUGAAAACGAAGUGAAAAGAAUCGUUCAUCUUCAAGGUAUUGCUAAUCAAAUGGCAGAUGCAUUUAAUGAUGCUUCGAAAGUGACACAGUCAUAUAUACCGGCUGCAAACGCACCUGCAAGAAUUGAUGUCCCUGUUGGACAAAAUAAAGUGGCAGCGAAUGAUUCAUCCAGUGCACGCCUGAAGCGUGGUAGACCCCCAGGUUCAAAAGAUUCAGCCCCUCGAAAGAGAAAGAUGAUGGCCCAAUUGAACCCAAAUGAUAUCAUUCAAGAAAAGGAAUUGAAUGAUAAAUCCACAAUUCGUGACUCUGUACUUCCAGAAAAAGAAAAUGUCCUUGAUGAGACACAUGUCCCUGAAGAGACAGAAGUACAUGAAAGCAAAGAAAUAUCCAUAAAUUAUGCAUGUACUAAUGAAUUGUGGGAUCGAAAUGAAAUAAUCAUCAUCGAUGACAUGUUUGCAUUUGCAAUAGCCACUGAAAUUAUAUUAAGUGAUGAUAUUGAGCCCCGCUCUGUUGAUGAAUGCAAACAGAGACAAGAUUGGCCUAAGUGGAAAGAUGCAAUCCAGGCAGAAUUUAAAAUCCUUGGAAAGAACGAAGUGUUUUUGGACCAGUAGUCCAAACCCCGCCUGGUGUGAACCCCGUAGGUUAUAAAAUGGGUAUUCACAAGGAAACGCAACGAGAAAAACGAGAUUGCAAAGAUAUAAAGCACGACUCGUUGCACAAGGUUUUUCACAAAGACCUGGAGUUGAUUAUGAAGAGACAUACUCUCCCUGUAAUGGACACAAUUACGUUCCGUUACUUAAUAAGUUUUGGUGAUUUCAGAAAAACUUGACAUGCGACUUAUGAAUGUCAUCACCCGCGUAUCUAUAUGGAGAAUUAGAUACUGACAUAUAUAUGAAAGUCCCAGAAGGACUUAAGUUGCCUGAAGCAACUAACAAACCACGGGGUAUGUUCUUAAUCAAAAUUAAGGCGAUCACUAUAUGGGCUGAAACAAUCUGGGCGAAUGUGGUAUAAUCGUCUCAGUGAGUAUUUGAUUAAAGAAGGAUAUGCCAACAAUGUCAUUUGCCCUUGUGUGUUCAUUAAGAAAUCAAAUACUGGAUUUGCUAUAGUGGCAGUAUAUGUCGAUGAUAUGAACCUAGUUGGAACCCCUGAAGAGCUCAACAAAACUGCUGAAUAUCUGAAAAGCGAAUUUGAAAUGAAAGACCUUGGGAAAACCAAAUAUUGUCUAGGCCUGCAGAUCGAGCAUUGUGUUAGUGGAAUUUUGGUCCAUCAAUCAGCUUACAUUGAAAAAAUACUGAAGCGAUUUGGCAUGGACAAGGCUUAUCCACUUAGCACCCCAAUGGUCGUUCGUUCAUUGGACAUUAAGAAAAAUCCAUUUCAUCCAAAAGAAGAUGAUGAACUGGUCCUUGGUCCAGAAGUACCAUAUUUGAGCGCAAUAGGUGCUUUAUUGUAUUUAGCACAAUGUACUAGACCAGAUAUAGCUUUUUCAGUUAACUUGUUAGCCAGGUACAGCUCUGCUCCAACAAUUCGUCAUUGGAAGGGAAUCAAAGAUGUUCUACGAUACCUUCGUGGGACAACAGAUAUGGGUCUCUUCUACUCAGACAAGCCCACAAAUGAACAAAUCCUUGUUGGAUACGCAGAUGCUGGUUUUCUCUCCGAUCCGCAUAAAGCCCGCUCACAAAAUGGAUAUGUGUUCACUAAUGGAGAUACUGCAAUUUCAUGGCGAUCAACAAAGCAAACGCUAGUUGCAACAUCUUCCAAUCAUUCGGAAAUAAUUGCUUUACAUGAAGCAAGUCGUGAAUGUUCUUGGUUAAGAUCAAUGAUCCAUCACAUCCGGAAUUCAUGUGGUCUACCUUCAAAGACAGACACUCCAACUGUCAUCCAUGAAGAUAAUGCAGCCUGUGUCGCCCAGAUGAAGGAAGGAUUUAUCAAAGGUGAUAAGACUAAACACAUAUCUCCAAGAUUUUUCAGUGCACAUGAGCUUCAGAAGGCUAAAGUUAUUGAAGUCAGACAAAUCCGUUCCAAUGAAAAUUUAGUAGACUUGUUCACCAAAUCUCUACCAAAGUGCACAUUUCAAAAGUUGGUACAGGGAAUCGGAUUACGACGGCUUACAGAUUUGAAGAAUGCGGAAUCAGGGGGAGAUACAAUUCAGGGGGAGCAUCCAUGAUACAUGCAUGUUGUACUCUUUUUCCUUCGCUUAGGAUUUUUCCCAUUGGGUUUUUCCUAUCAAGGUUUUAACGAGGCAACCUAAGCAUGCUCAACACCAUCCGGGUAAAGUUGUACUCUUUUUCCUUCGCUAUGGUUUUUUCCCACAGGGUUUUUCCAAGCAAGGUUUUCCAAGCAAGGUUUUAAUGAGGCAACUGAUGUUGAUAUGUGGGCAUCCAAGGGGGAGUGUUGUAAAUAAUGGGUAUGUUUGCCCACAUGUGUAUAGUAAUGUGUAUAGUAAAGUAUCACAUGUGUAUACUAUAUACUCAUAAGCUAAAUAGUAAUGUUUUGUAAUUUUUCAUUGAAGUAGCUCUAUAAAUAGAGCACUUCAAUUGUGCAAAGAUGAGUGAAUGAGAAGAAGAAAGAAAAGAGAAAUAUAUCUAAUAGCAAUAAUAUACAUUACUUCCUCUGCAACAGCUUGUGUCGGUAUAUUACUCUGCAACUGCUUCGUUCCUUCACCGAGUAAAGGUUAUCUCUCUAUAAAUUUUGCCUAUUUAUAACAUUUCUUACAUUGUAAAUUAUAUUUCGUGUAACGAGAAAUCAGUAUUGCUACUUCGGGGAUGUUGGCACAACUUGUCGAACCUUGUAAAUAUUGUGUCUUAUAUACAUUUUUCGCCACUUUAUAUAUUUCGUAUAUAUGUGCAACAUAUGUUCCAACAAGAUUCUUAAGGUGUAGCUCAAACAUUAACAGAAGAAAAAUGUUUACAAAAUCUACUAUGCGCAACAUGAUUUGGUUGACGACAACAUGUCUAUGAAGUGUUCGACGAAAUGCCUUAGUGAACAAAUUGAAAAUUUUUUUUGCACGUCUCGCUCUCUGUUUCUAUCUAAAAACUUGGACCUAACACUGGGACCCUAAGAUUUGAAUUCUAAACCAACCACUGCCACAAGUGUUCUCUUUUGGUCCAACCUAUAACUAUAGAAAAAGCAUAUAACUGCACAACAAUUCGAUCAACCACCUCAAGUUCAACCAUACAUGUACCCAUAUUUAGGUUAUUCCGAACUUACCUUAUGAAAGUAACUAAACAUUACUGCCACAUUAUUAUGAAAUUCUAUCAAGUUUGAAUUUUUGUCUCAUAACUAUAUCAUCUAUAAGACAAUUGGUAACACUAGUUGGUGGAUUGACGAUUGGUAGAAAUGGCUUCAACAUUUGAAGGACGAGAAAUGAGUAUGGAGCACCGAUCAAAACGUGCUGUAUUUUAUCACUAAAAAUCUAAGUGCAAUUAGAAAUGCAUUUUAUCAAAAAAAGGUAAGCAAUUAUUGAUAUAAAUUGUAAUUUAUAAGAUCACAUAUAAAACAUGCUCCUUCCUUUUUCUUUUCAUCUCUGCCACUAGUGGCCAACCAAGACAUAAAGAAAUGCUUUUUGGGUCAAUGCAUGUGAACGACCCAUUUUAUAAUUAUUGGUAAUUUUCAUGGGAGUAGAUAGGAAUGACCCAAUUAAAUAUUUCCCCUGCACACCAACACUUGCAAUGCAGCUAGCAAAGAGUUGUUUGAACACCGAUCCACAUCAAUGGCUCUUGUGAGAACAUCUCCAGGGACCUCCUCUGAUUCCAACACUUUUCGGGGUUACCGAUACGACGUGUUCUUGAGCUUCAGAGGCGAAGACACUCGUAAGACUUUUACCGACCACCUCUACACAGCCUUGAACAACGCAGGAUUUCUCACGUUCCGGGACAACGAUGAACUUGAGAGAGGAGAAGAUAUAAAGCCAGGACUGCAGAAAGCGAUCCAGCUGUCACGAGCUUCUGUUGUCGUGUUUUCGAAAGAUUACGCGUCAUCCGGAUGGUGCCUUGAUGAGCUUGUGCUGAUCCUUGAACACAAGAGGACCACCUCGAACCAUGUAGUUUUACCAGUCUUCUACGAUGUCGAUCCGUCCCACUUGAGGAAGCAGAUGGCAAGUGUUGGAAAAGCAUUUGCUAGACACGAGAGGACUCAGUCGUCGAAAAGGGUGAAGGGAUGGAGAGAGGCAGUUGCAGAGGUUGCAGAUCUAGCAGGCAUGGUCUUACAAAAUCAAGAUGAUGGGUACCUUUCAUUUUCUCCAUUUCUCUCCUCUUUCUUCAGUCAAUUUGGUAAUAUGAUCCGUAGGACCUUGAUUUAUAUUAAUCAAUCUCAGUAGUGAAUAAUAAUCCCAAUUUAAAGAAAUCACAUUUUCCAUGGUAGUCUACAUGAAGGACCUAAGACACAAAAAGUAAACAAAAACUCUCAAUUUUUGUCUAGAAUCUUAUCUGCAAGAAAAUCGAAUUAUUGUUGAAACUUGGAUUCGAAUCAAAACAUUGAUUCAGAGCUCUAACAAUCCAAAAUAGUCACACAGCGAACAAUUUCUCAAAUAACGAAGUCAAUACUGGACAUAUAUACACCAAAGAAAAGUCGAAAACCUAGCUUCAAAGUUGGACAUAAAUUCAAAUAAGUACUUAUAAUCAAUUGAGAAUAACUCUAAAAUUAAAGCAGCACAUCCCUCUCUCUCUCUCUCUCUCUCUCUCUCUCUCUCCCUCAGCCUUAUGUCUUUUAUUUUUAAUUUUUUUUACUACUACAGGUCCACUAUCCACUGUCCGCCUUAUGUCUUAAUAAAACACAUAUAACAUAUCAAACACUAGAGAGAAGAUCUACACUUUAGUUCAUCAAAAAAAAAAAAAAAAGCCUACCACUUUCCAAAUGAAAAAAAAAAAUUAGUCUCAUUAGGAUGGUUUAUUACCCAUGACAUGUUUGAUUUAUUUUUUUUUCAUUUCGUUUGUAAAUUCUUAGGUACGAAUCAAAGUUUAUCAAAAAAAUUGUUAAAGUGAUUGGAGGCAAGUUAAGUCGCACACCAUUGAGUGUUGAACCAAAAUUGAUUGGAAUCAAAUCUCAAGUCAAAGACAUCAAUUUGUGGCUACAAAAUGGAUCAAGUGAUGUUGGUAUACUUGUUGUGUAUGGCAUGUCAGGAAUAGGGAAGACAACCAUUGCAAAACAUGUUUACAAUUCAAAUUUUAUUGGCUUUGAAAGAAGUAGUUUCAUUGAAAAUAUCAAUGAAAGAGCUGAUCGACCAAAUGGCUUAGUUCAAAUACAAAUGCAACUUCUUUCCGAUAUUUUGAUCGGUUGCGAAGUGAAAAUACAGACUGUUAGUGAGGGAAUAAUUAAGAUUGAAAGCGCCAUAAGCUCUAGAAAAGUUCUACUUGUUCUUGAUGAUGUGGACCGUAUGGAUCAAUUAGAUGCAGUACUAAAAAUGAAAGAUCGGUUUUAUCCCGGAAGUAAGAUACUUAUAACAACUAGGCGUGAAAGAUUGCUAAGAGCACAUCAAGUUAUAAAGGUGUACAAAGUUGAAACUUUGAAUUACAAUGAAUCACUAGAGCUUUUCAGUUGGCAUGCAUUUGGCCAGGAUCGUCCCACAGAAGAUUACAUGAAGCAUUCAAAAAUGGUAGUGCAACAUAGUGGCGGACUUCUAUUAGCUCUUCAAGUUUUGGGUUCUUCUUUAUCAGGGGAAAGCAUGGGUGUAUGGGAAAGUGCCUUGGAGAAGCUAAACGUUAUUCCUAAUGGUGAAAUCAUGAAUAAACUAAGAGUAAGCUAUGACAGUUUACAAGAUGACCAUGACCGAAAAUUAUUCCUCCACAUUGCUUGUUUCCUAAUAAAAAGGAACAAAAACUACAUUGCUAAGAUACUUGAUGGAUGUGAUUUCUAUACAAUUGUUGGCAUUCAAAAUCUCAUUGAUAGAUGCUUGGUGACAAUUGAUAAAUACGGCAAGGUGAAUAUGCAUGACAUGAUUCGUGACAUGGGGAGAGAAAUUGUUCGUCUAGAAUCAGAAGAGCCUGAGAAACGUAGUAGACUAUGGCGCCAUAAGGAUUCUUUCCAAGUAUUGAGGGACAAGAAUGUAAGAAACAUGCCUUUAAUGUCUGUAUAUGUAUUUCUUCUUGUGAAAAUUAUUCAUACUAACGUUUUCCGCUUUUUCCUUUAGGGUACAAAAAAAAUCCAAGGUAUUGUCCUGAAUAUGCUUAUGCUUCCUGCACAUAGUCCAAUAAAUACAAAUGAGACAGUCUUGGAAACCAAUGCAUUUGAAAAGAUGCGCAAAUUACAGCUACUACAUCUUAGUCAUGUACGACUGGAUGGAUGUUAUGCAGAUUUCCCUACAAGAUUAAGAUGGUUGUGUUGGCUUCAAUUUCCAUUGGAUUCUAUACCUAUUGAUUUUCCUUUGGGGUGUCUAAUUGUUCUUGACAUGCAAUAUAGUAGCUUGAGACAAGUCUGGAAAGGAACAAAAGUAUGUUAGUCUACGCAUUUCAAUUCAGUUUUUUAUUUUUUGACCAAUUGCAUAUGUUAAAAUUAACUCCUACACAUUUUUUUUUUAAAUUUUACACAGUUUCUUCCAUCAUUGAAGAUCCUUGACGUCAGCCAUUCUCAUGCCCUCACUGAAAUCAUGGACUUCUCACUUUGCCCCAGUCUAGAAGAACUAAUUCUUGUAGAUUGCACAAGCCUGAUUAAUGUUCAUGAAUCCAUUGGAAACCUGGAGAGGCUUGUGUACUUAAACGUGGAAGAUUGCACGAAUCUUAGGAUGCUUCCGAAGAACAUGUGUUUGCUUAAAUCACUUGAAACACUCAUUUUAUCGGGUUGCUCAAAUCUUGAUGAGUUUCCAAUGGAGAUGAUGAAGAAGAUAGCUCUGAAAGUUCUUGAAACAGAUGGAAUUCCAUUAAGUGAAUUAUGGACAGAAAGAAGUUCAAGUAUCUUGAGUUCUUUUCCAUGCUCUUUAGUAGGGUUGAGUCUAAAGGGGUGCAAUCUUUCUGAUGAUGCCUUUUGUAGGGAUUUAAGUAGUCUAUCCUCGUUGCGAAGACUAAAGUUAGGUGAGAAUCCAAUUUCCAGUCUGCCAGGUUUCAUCAAGGGUUUGAGGAGGCUCGAUAAACUCUCUUUCAAGGGUUGUGAUAGGCUCGAAUCGCUUGUGGGGUUGCCGAGAGUACACAAAAAGAUGGAUGUAUCCGAUUGCAUAUCAUUGAAAGAAGUAACAUAUCAAUCGUUUAGAGGGUUCCAACUAAAUGCCUUUGCGAGAGAAAACUACAACGUAGUUGAGUGGGAGUACCAUCACAAGUUAGAGCCUAUUGAUAGAGUUGAUGCAGAAAUGAUCAAACUUUUGGGCUUGUGCAACUUGGGAUCCAUGCCUGCAAUUCGAAUGAACAGCCCAAAGGGUUGCUUUCAUUCAAAAGAGGAUAGGUGGAGUCCCGUCCAGGUGCGCUCUCUCUCUCUCUCUCUCUCCCCCCUCUCCCUUUCUCUCAUAAGUCAAAUAUAUAAUGGGAAAUAAAUGACUCAGUAAUGUUGUGAUGAUCAUGGAAAAUGCAUAGGGACUCUAUCAAUUUGGUAUAUUCAGCACAUUUUUUGUUGGGAAUGAGGUUCCAGGCCAGUUCAGCUAUAAAAGUACCAAGUCCUCCAUAUCUUUUAUUGUCCCUUUACUCAUUGCUAGUCACAAAAUCCGAGGCUUAAACAUCUCUGCUACCUAUGCAAAUGAGGAGAAUUCUAAUUAUAUUGAUGAUGGUUAUAAACGUCCAAUAAUAAUCAAAGUGAGUAACAAGAGCAAGGGUCUGAAGUGGAUCUAUGUCCCAGCUUUCUACGGUAUUCCAGAAGAGGGAGAAGAUAUGAUAUGGUUAAGCCAUUGGAGGAUGGAGAGUGAAACAACAUUACAAUGUGGAGAUGAAGUGCUUGUUUUAGUACUCUUGAGCCUUGGUAAGUUUCAGCUCAAGGAGUUUGGUGUCGAGCUUGUGCAAGAGCACCAGAAUAAUAUGAUGAUAAGUACCCAACACAACAUCAAAUCAGAUCCUAAUUACCCUUUUGUCAUCGGUGGAGAUUUGUCCAUGUGGGAGUAUAUACCAGGAAUAUACUUCCUCGGUUGCGAUAAAGAAACUGUUGAAGACACUGAUGUCUUUUCGCAGAGAUUUUUAAAUUGCCUGAUCAUGGACACUGAUGAAGAAGACACAGGUAUGCUGUGUCGUUGUUGUAUUGCAAUGAAUUAUACUGCAUCCAAACACUUCCAAGUCCAUCUGUAUUCAAUCCAAAAACAUAAAUUUUAUGUUAUUUGUAUGUUUUUCAGACAAAGAAAAAGGGCAAGAGGAUGAACCUAAUUACACAAUUGCAAGGACGAGGGCUGCCAGUAACAACUGCAGCCUUGGAGGCUGGAAGGUGCUCCUCACAGCUGCCGGCUUAUUUUUCACGCUUGCUCUAGUAGUUCGGUCCUCCAUCUCCCAGAAAAAAAAGCGACUCUAGUCCACAAGCCAUCCAUGAGUUUGUAAUUUUAUUUGAUACAGACAUAUCUUUGGAUUCCCUCCUUGUUUUUAAGAUGUUUUCUGCCUUCAAAAUAUCGAAGUUCAAAUGUGUUCAAAAUCAUCAAAUAUUGCAUAAAAUACAUCCUACAUUAGCGAUGCUUAAAAUUUUUCUUCCCUGCCACUGAUUGCAUACAAUCAUGUACCAGAGAAGAUAAACAAAUGAUUCUAUAGCAGCAGUAAAUAAUUGGGAAAAAAAAAUGAUUCUAAACAUACAAGGGAAGGACUUUGACAUAGGUAUCUUUAGCAAUACCAGGCAAAAAUCAAUUCUUUGAACUGGGGGAAAAUAUUUUGGCACCGGGGAAAGUGAAAACAUCCUAUCUGCUUAUAAAUGUCAAAUUUACUGGUGUUAAUUGUCAUUUACAACAAAAUCAUGCUUCGUAAAAGAUUCGGCUCCCAUUGAAAAAUUAUGUAAAUUACAUAAAUAUCAGUACAACAGAUAUUAGAUUGACUAAUAUAUCAAAUAAAUUAAGAGCAGACAAUUUCUUAGCCUGCGAUCUAAGGACUAUACAGCUGAUUCAGCCUUGCGUUGCUACUACACUACGAAAGCUGGUUUCUGCUUCUUCAACCCGAACAAAUUAUUAAGGUCAGGAAGCAUAGGAGAAACGACCACGGUCUCUGGAGCCAUGAAAUUUUCUGUCUUCUCAUAAACAUUGUCACUGCUAGCUUGUUCCAUUUUUAAAGUUACAAAAACACAAAAACUUGAACAAUAGAAGUUCGGGAUCGAUUAGGUUCCAAGCCCACUAUAAGCUGAGCAAUACAGUGUCAUUGACUUCAAUGGCUGCAGAUACAGAUUGUUUGAAUAAAACUCUCCUCAUGACUCAGAUUUAGUUCUUAAAGUUGGUUAGACGAGUCCGAAUUGUCUGAAAAUCAUGUUCAUCAACUCCACAUAUCCAAAGCAGCAAAUUAAGGAGGAUACCGGACAUCACUUAGGACAAUACAAUCCUUAACAAUUUCCAAAAGCCACAGUUUUUAUAUGCAAUCUGAUUACAUGUGUUUUGAACUACAGGAAAUCUUAUAGAUUGGGUAAACCGUAUAUCAAAUUCAAAUGCAAUCAUUCAUAUAUGAAGUAUGAGAUGCCCAAUAGUUUUACCAAAAGUUGCUGGGUCAAUUGUCUCAAAACAUUCUUUUAGAAAUUGCUGGUAAAACUCAGAGUCAUCCAAGGGGUCACCAUCAGCUUUUGCACCAGCAUCAGAUUGUGUCUUAUCAGAGUGAAGGAAUAAAAGUACUUAACUUGUGCAAAUAGAAAUAUAACUUUUAUAACACAUCAAAGAGAUAAUUAAAGCAAACCUUACAGGCUACACAUCGAAGCGGCAAACGAAUACUAAUUUUAAACAUAAAGAUGCAAUUAAAGGUAAUGGCGCAUGAAGAGUAUUGAAACCGUCACAGUCCUCACACACAGGUUGCAUGAUCUUUUCUUGUAGCAAUAAAAGAAACAAAUUCAUCAAGUCACAUUGGGCCAUCCAAAAAGAAAAAUGAAGCAAAGUACCAAACACCACAAACAACCCAAAUUUGUUCAAACGUAGUAUCAAACUAAUUAUAGACUGCAUCCAUCCCAAACAAUUAAUUUGUACCUCAUUUGGGAGUUAAAAACUUACAACAGCACAUGGAAAAAACGUAAAUUCCAUGGACAUUCGAUUCCAAUGAACUUACAUGCAAUCAGUAUAGGAUUAUAGUUGACCACAAUUACAUGCAGUCAGUACCUCUCCCUUUGCAGAGUUGUACCCCUCAGGAACCUGCACAUCCACAACUUAUGUUUAAGUUAAUGUACAAAACUUAAGAAAGCCCCAUCUUGUUAUGAUGUUAAAAUUAUGAAGCAAAAAUGAGCAUGCACGUGACAGUCAAUAUCUUACAGGUACCAAAUACAGCAACUGCUGAUUUCCUCAUCUGCAUCUGCCUAACCAUUCUGCUUGGAUCUCUCAUAUAUGAAGCAACUUGUUCGCUAAUAUUCAGCGAUUGGGAAAGGAAAAAUGUAUUCCUGGUGAAUAUCUGGCAAAGCAUGGCACAAGUCCUUCAUAGGGAAAGGCAUGGUUACAAGUUCAAUUAUAGAGCCAGACUUGAUUAAAAGCAUGCAGUUUGCUUUUAAUAGCAGCAGCAUCUGUGGUCACCUCUGUCUUCCUCUGCCAUUUGUUUAUCAAUUUGUUUCUGAAAGUAGCAUUCUACAAGAUACAACGUGACAGGCCUUAGUUAGACCAAGUAACCAACAUGGAAAUGUAAACAAUAAUGAAAAGUUGAACAUAGUAGAACAAAUUUCUAAAAUUCAUGCAAGAGAAGUUGUCGGAGCAUGAAAGAAUUCACAGCAGAACUGCCCAAGAGUAUACUUAAAUUAAACAUAUGGCAACAUAGAUUUUUUACAAGUAUAAUUUACAAAUGCAUUCCAUGGUUCUUUGCCGGCCCCUUUAGAUAACUAAUUUAAUUUAGUGCCUAAUGGAAUUUAAAUUUCAGAAAACUAUCGUCUGGUAUAUUUCAUAUUAAAUAGUUGACAAACUUUAUAACAUAAUAGCGUCAUUUAUUAACUGAUACGAACCAUGUAGUAAAAUAUAACAAAAGUUAGACACCAAGGCAUUGAAAUACAGCAAUAAUAGUAAGGUACUUGAUUGAAUCCACCAUUUACGAGAAUUUUAACAAUAAAACAAUAAAACUUCGAAGUUCUUUUUGCUGCUCCAAAUGGAUCAGCGAAGUAUGGCAUGAAGAACGGAAAAAAAAAAUUCAGUUUUAUAGAUAGACUUCAAUACAGUAAGAGCAUAUGUACAUAGUAGAAUAUGAUUCUUCUUCUCAGAGUAUCUAAUUAUGAUUUGAGUACCUCGACAGCAACUCAGAAAUUCAUGACCAAUCCUCAUCACCAUCACCAUCACUGCCAAUGUUUUUAGAUGACUGUGACAUCUUAGAUCGUCCAGAUUUACCUACAGAACAGGAUAUGUAUUAGGAAAAGCAAUACAUGAACAUAUGCAGUAAGAAGUUAAUGAAAAUGCAAACAGUACAAAGUGGGACAGUCAAUUAGACCAUGGUAGCCCCAAUGCCAACUUUUUUUGCUAAAUGAUGCUAAGUUUUAUAUGAGAUCAAGCAGGAAAGAUAUGUAUUGACAUCCUAGGGGCUUUUUGAAAUCUGGCUUCAUCUUUGCUGUCCUUAGAUCAACAAAACAUGGCUGCCCAACCGAUUUACCUUCCAUGCCAACAUUAUGCUUUUGACAACUGCAACAAAUACCUACCUCUAUAGUGGUGAUUUAAUUGAUGUUUCUGUAAUCAAACUCCCAAAGUGUCUACUGUUUGUUGAAAACAACUGAAUUUCUGACCAAUUGGACUACUUUGAACUUCCCAAAGUGUAAUAUCUUUAGUAGAACAUAACCUGGUCAAUCCAGUAAGUUUUGUGCGAAACUCAUUGAAAUUCCUUACCAUUGAGGUAAACUUGUGGCUCAUUUUCUGCACAUUGAUGAGGCCGUUCCAACCCAGACUCAGCUUCACCUAUAGAAACAGAAAUUAACUAGGACAAAGCAACACGAUGCAUUGUCUCUCUUCAAGCUUGAGAAAAUGACAUACCUUGCAAGAACCCAAAGAACUUGACAUGUUCAUGCUCCGGCCAAUAAUAUCCAUCAGCAUAUGUCCAUUUUAGUACACGCCUAUAUUCAACUAUUUGAAAAUAGAGAAAAUUUAAUAAGAAAAAGCAGUAAACUCUUGGUAGAAAAGUGUGGUAAUUUGUGGUGUACCUGUAGCCAGGCCUCUGUAAUGAACUUCAACUGUGACUCAGGUUGGCACUACGGGCUGGUUUGGUAUUGCUGUGCUUUAAAAAAAAGCUGCUGUGAGAAUAAGCGGUUGUGCUGUGAGAAUAAGUGACUGUGAAAUAAAUCAGCAGAGCGUUUAGUAAACUUUUUUGUAAAAGUGGUUUUGGAAAAAAAGCAGUCUGAUAGUGGGUCUUUUCAUUAAAGGAGCACUGUAACUCCGUGAGCUUUGAAACAAAACCAGUUUUCCAAAGCUGCAAAUAGCAGCUUCAGUUUUUUCCUUUGAUUUCAGCUUAUUCUCACAGCAGCUUCCAAAAUAAGCCCUCACAGCUUUUUUUUUUUUUUUAAACACCGCACACCCACUCAUCUACCCCGCUCCCUUCCUUCUCUCCUUUCUCUCAUCUGCACUUUCUCUGUUACAGCUUCACUCUGUCCGGGAAGUCAUCGUCAAAAUCGACGAAGGCGCAGAUUCGUUCACAAGCACCAGCGACCUGCCAAAAGUGGCAGGAAGAUUUGGCGGCAGUCCAGCAUCGAUUUCUGGCACGAGGACGGCAACGGCGAUGCCGAGAAUUUUGAUUUCGUGCAGCGAGGGAAGACGGAGGAGGUGAAUGGGGAGGAUCCGCCGUCGAAGCUGAUUGCAGCGAGCCUCCGGCGAUAAGACGCUGGAUAUGGAUUUGGAGAUGGAGGAGCUGUAGCAGAACGAGCGCGAUUUGCCGCCCCUCGCCGAGUCGCCGAGUCCGAGAAACUUGUGCAACUCGAAGGAGCUCAAAGUCUCGUAUCAAUUGCCGGCGUCGGACCUCACCGAUACGCCGCAAACUGAGUCAGUUCAGAGGCGAUACAGAGAGUCCCCUGACGAGGAGCGACGCCGCAGCGAGAGGUUGGGCAACGGACAGGACGACGUCGUCCGGUGCACUUCCAACUCCUCAUUCCGCCGAGAGCCUUCGUUCUCGAACAAGUCCGAUUUGUUGAGAAUAAAGACCAAGUCCAGACUAAUCGACCCGCCGGAGGAGCCGGAUUUCAAGUCGGGUCGGAUCUCGCGAUCGGGACAGAUGAGGUCCGGGUUGCUGGGCCGCGGCGGCGACGACUCGACGACCCAUUUCUGGAGGAGGACGUGCCGCACGAGUACAAGAGAGCGAACUUCAACGCAUUGACGCUGCUUCAGUGGGUAAGCUUGGUUUUGAUCAUUGGGGCACUGGUUUGCACGCUGACGAUUCCAGUUCUGAGGGAGAAGAGGAGGGAGGGAAGAGGAGGGAGGGGGUCGGGAAGGGUGGGACAGGAUGCCCAGAAAAAAGUUUUUUUUUUUUUACUUUUUAAAAUUUUUUUUUUAAGCUUUUAUUGACGUGGCCGUCACGUCAUCAAUUAACAACUGACCGAACAUCCAACUUAACGGAUGUACAAAACUGUUCCAAAAAAUUAAGACAUGAGAUAUGAUUGGACUGAAAAUAACUUCAUGUACCAAAUAUUAAAAUUCACAAAAUUACAAGAUAGUAAACUGAGAUUAACCCAAAAAUAAAAAGAAAUUCAUGCACAUGAAGCCUAUGAUAAAUGUCAAUUAAUUGACAUUAAGUCAAAGAAAGUAUCUGCUAAAGCAUAUUCAGUUCUCCCGUCCUAUUCUGAUAACUGUCCGAACCAUGAAUAAGAUACGAUUGGAUCAUCAUCCAAGAAAUGGUACAGGUCGUUCGCAUCCUCAAAUAGAAUUUUCCUGGUGCAACAUAAAAGCAUUGUUGAAAGCGAAUCAGGAUUCUCUCCUGAGCACAUGGUCAGGAUCCUCCUGACCACGCCCAUCGGGUCGUUCAACUUUUAUCUAACGGUUAUAAUUAUUAUAACUUUUAGAGGGCCCCCUGUUUGUAGCAGUUGGAUAAAAUUUAAACGGUCCGAUGAGCCUGAUCAGGAGGAUCCUGACCAUGUGCUCAGGAGAGGAUCCUGAUUCGUUGAAAGCAACGGAAGAAAAUAUGUCAACAAUGGCAUAAUAUAUGUGAGGUAAGUUGGUUUGACAUGAAAAAAAAAAUUGUAAUUGUCCACUCAUAUUUCACGCCUUCAUUGUAUAAGAAAAAUGUCAGUCCAACCACUUGUAGAUCAAAUGAAAUUUUGCUUGAGUAUUUUUCUUUGAACUUCUUUCCACUCAAAAUUUCCUAGCAAUAAAAAACAAAGUGAAAGAGAAUAUAAAGGCGCUUCAAGGCAAACUUCAAGGACUCGCUCAAGAACAUUAUGCAAAAAAGAGUUUGCAUGCAAGCUUUCUCCAAAUUCAAUAGCCUACAUUAUAACAGAAAUAGAAGGGUAAAAGGGAAGAGUUAAUAAAAAUAAGAUUAGCUAGCAAUUUGUUUUGCAUAUAUAUUAGAUACAACACACUUGAUGAAAUCAUUUCUUGCAUAUGAGAUACAACAUUGUCAUUUAACUGCAUACACAGUGCUACAGCCUCUCAAUUUGCUUUUAAGACAGGCAUCCCAAGAAGUUCCUAUAAAACCACCUUUAGUAAAUAUCUGAUAAGCACUCAUAAUGCCUCACCAACAAACCAAAAGGUAUCUAUGUUGAACAAAGAAAUAAAACAUAUUCAAAAGAAUUAAACUGAUUGCAAAAUUUUCAGGGAAGAAAGCUGAUCACAGAAGUUUAGCCAAAUGAACACAAGUUGCCAAAAAAAAAAAAAAGUAUGUAUAAGCAUGGAUACUCAGUCAACUACUAAAUAAUGAGCAAACGAAAGGUCUGCAAUUAGGUACAAAAAAGGGCCAUUGCACCAAAAUAAUAAUAAAAAAUACAAACCACAUUUUUUAAAUUGAUAACAAAAGCAUAACAUCUGAAACACCAUUUUCAGCCAUAUGCAAACUCGAUGAAUCAAUACCAGAGAAACGAAAAAACCUUGCAAUCCUCACCUGCAAAUUCAGAGGCGAUGGAGUUCCGUUACCCACAAAGACCAUAAAUGCACCAAACAGAAUAAACACAACAAUAAUUAAGCUUACUCUCAAUUCAAAGCCUCAAUCUUUAUCUAAGCUAAGCAACAACAAAAAAAGGCAUUGUAAAAAGCAACAGAAAAAUUACUGAGAGUAACGUAAUUUAUACCAAUAAAUUACCAUUCAAAUUCAAUUUUGAAGUAACCCACCCCAGUUACCCCACCACAUUUCCGAAAGACUAAACAAAAACACAACAAACUCACCCCAAAUUUUCCAUUUUAUUCGCUAUCUUUCAAUCAAUCAAACGUACCCUUUAAACUUUUUCAUCAAACAUUAUAUAAACAAAUUAAAAUCCUAAUUCCAAAACAAACCCCUGUUUUAAAAAUUUCUUAUCUGUCUUCAUAAAGCAAUCAGAAAAUGCAAGCGCACAAACAAAUUACGGAACCUUGGGGAAGAGAUUGAUGGUACAGAAGACGGAUAACCUGAGGUGGGAGCUUCGUGCACCAUCCUUGGCUGUUUCGUGUUGUACGAUUAAAAAGGAGAGCAAAACGGAAAACAAAAACCGAAGAUCACUUCGCAUCAGCUCUCGAUUUCCCCAUAUUCAGCUAAACCGCAAUAACCUAUGAGAAUCGUUCAAAAACGAAAAAACCCCGAUAUAUAUAAAAGAAAAAGUCGGAUUUGAGGAAAAUAGAGAUGAAAAAAAUACCCAGAAGAAGGAGAGGAUGAGACGCUGUAUAAUGCAGAAUGAGAAAGGAGGGAGGCACUCGAGAACAACGUUUUAGUUUUCUGAGAAAGAAAACUCCAGAAGCAGAGGAAGAGCGCUCACCGGUCCACUUCCCUUCUACGAUGGCUGACACCCAGACCGAAGAGGCAAAUCAGUAAAUGGCUCAUUUUACUAUUCCAUCGAUUAAAACUUUAUUUCUUUUUAAUUUUUUUAUCAAGAUUUUUGGAUUAUUUUUUAUUUUUAAAUAUAUUUCUUUAAUGUUAAAAAUGUUACUAUUAAUAUAUUUAUAUUUAUGAUUAAAAAUUUUAUCAUAUAUUUUGUUUUUUAGUUUGUAUCCACUUUUAAUUUGCAACCUUUAUUUUAAAUUUGUAGUAUUUUCUUUUUAGUUUUAAUUUGUACCAUGUAAUUUUUUUUCGCGCCCAUAUUUUUAAAAUUUUCAUUUGUACUCAUAAUUUUUUAAUCUUUUUGUUAUAUGUGUGUUUGGGCCCAAAAUAAUAGUUUGGACCGAGGGUAGGAUCAUACUCGGCCCGGGAGGCCGUGCGGCAAAAGGACCAUGGAUCGUUCAGCUCGUGGGCUUCCAAGCCUAGGUUAGUUAGAUCAGAACGCAAGUCGAGUCCUAGUACAAUAGGGAGUCUCGACGAGAUCAAUAAUCCAGAAAGCGAAUCCGGCUCAGUUAAGGACUAGAUUCAUAGUCCUAGUGAAGAUAGGACUGGUCGAGGUGUUGUUGACCCGGAAAGGGAGACCUAAUCCGAGUAGGAGUUUAACUCGGAUUCAAGGUCCAGUGCUAUAAAUAGGGGAGGCUAUGCGUCAGUGAAGGGCUCCAACUCAACACACAAAACUGCCCUGCGCAAACUCUCUCAACAACUUGAGAUUUUUAUUUUCUCUUUUCGCUGACACAUCUUCCGUUGGCAUCAACAGCACUGUGAAAGCAACUGGUGACAUCUUAAGUCGGCAUAGAUAGCUCUGUCAUCGUAGAAUCAGUCGGUCUCGCAGUAUCUUCCGUUGGCAUCAACAGCACUGCGGCGAGGACGGUUGGUUAUCUAUCCAAGUCUCGGUCGAGAAGGAUUUCUGAAUCCUUAUUGAUUGAGGUCGUCUUAUUAGCUUUCUCGGCGAAGUAAGGCGUUACAUUAGGCUCGGCACAUUGCACGCCGAGGUUGUUCAUGAUUGGAUACUCACAGGUGGGAUUUAGAGUUCGGCAUUCCAACGGCCGAACCACGUUCAUUAUCAAGACUUACGUCCGUUUUGAGUAUCUGUGCCCCUACACCUUGGUGUUUAUUCGGCGUGAGUUUACUCUGACGAAUACUAUCACUGUGACCGAAUCUGACGACGACGACUCGUGAACUUCGUAAAAAUAGUAGCCUUGUCUUCAGGCUUGAGAACCCAAGAGGCCGAGGUGUGUUCCUUUCUCGGCCGCAGUCGCAAGACACAGAAGUUAGCCGCGCACCCAACGCAACAUCAACAAAUUUACUCCUCGGCCGAGCUCGGCCGACGAGUUGGCACGCCCCGCAUUCACCGAAGGACGUAGUUAGCUUAUAGAUUACUCGGCCUGCGCGCCACGUAGGCUUUGUAGUUUUUAGGGUCAACAAUGUGAAAUGUACCAAUUUUUUUUAACACUAUACAUUCUUUUGCCAUUUAUUAUUUCUAAUUGUUACAUAGUUUUUAUCCAUUUAUUCAAUCAAAAUGUUUGAAUUUUUUUAAUGUAACCUUCUAUGACACACCCCGUCCUAAGGAGGGCGUGACAGAUUGCUAGUGAUUCAGUUUUUAUUUAUGCGUAUUUCUAUUUAUCUUCUCAGCUUCCGCACUGUGCAUAUGGUUACGUCACGCUCACGUGACGCCUAGCACGCCCUCUUAGGACGGGGUGUGUCAUUUUAUAAUAGUAUUAUAAAGAGGGAUUUUAAAUUUAUUGGAUUAUAAUUCUCAUAAAAUAUCAAACAAUUAAUGUCAAAACUAUAAAAAAAAUAUAAAUAUUAAUAGUAAUAUAAUGAGGUGUACAAAGUCAAUGGACUUUGAUCAAACUCUGAAUAUCAUUAGGGUGCGUUUGUUGCACCGGACUGUCUCGGACUGGACUAGCUGCAGGGACUAAGCUGGACUGGCUUAGACUAGCUUAGUGAAGCGUUUGGUGCAGUGUCGAACUAAAAAACAGAAUAAUAAAAAUUAAUUCACUUUUUAUUUGUUAUUUUUUUGGUUUUCUAGAAUCCCCUAUUUUGGUCAAACUAUUUCCUUCUUUUUCUCCCAUGUCUCUUCCCUUUUCCUUAUCCUGUUCGACUCUCUCUCCCUCCCUCCCUCCCUCUUCACUUCCUCUCACAACUUCAUAAUCUACUGCAAACCUUCAAAAUCAAACCACAUAGCAAAAAAUAAAGUGAAAAUUUAGGAGUUGGGGUUGGGGUGCAUGUGUGAUUGCCUCGAAGGUGGGAGAUGGAUAAGGUUUGCAAUCAGGGAGUUUCAUGUUUUCUGGGUUUGGUUUUCCUUCAGUCAAUCCCAUCGUUGAUUUGAGCUUAUACCCACUGCAGAUUUUGUGUGUGUGUGUGUGUUUUAUAGGUUUCUGGGUUCGGUUUUCUGGGUUCUAUUUUGCAGGUUGGAUCUGGAUUUGAAAAAUGGAAUGACUGCAUAUUUUUUUUGUUUUGAAUUUUGCGGGAUAUGGGUUUGAAAAUGGUUGUGGAAGCGAGGAAGAAGCAGAUGGGAGGGGCGAAGUGAGGAAAGGCGAAGCGGACAGAUGUGGUCUUAGCAGUCCGCCCAAUUUUGGGGGGCCUUGCGAAGCCCCUCUAGCAAAUCGUUUAGUCAGGGUUAGUGUAGGCGAGUCUCAUUAACGCUAGUCCGUGUGUGAAACAAACACAGGAUUACAGUGACAGUUAGUCCAGUCCAAGCUAGCGAAAGCUAGCGAGCUCAAACAAACACACCCUUAAGGUUUUAAUCAAAGAAUGUUAGGGACUAGGGACCGCAUCCAAAGUAUCUAUUAGUAAAUUUACUAUGCCGUGUAGGGAAAAAGGCUGAAAACAGGUAACGAUUGAAGGGGAAAUCCGUCCACACACUAUAGAUUAAUAGUGCCAACCCAAAACUAGGUUUUAGUAUAUAUAUAUAUAUAUUUUUAUAUUUGGAUCUUAAAAAGUGAUGUAUUUGGAUCUUAAAAACUCAAAUUCUAGAACUCGUUUUGAGUUUUAAAAUUUGAGUCCUUGCACUGGAGGAGAAGAAAUUGGACUCAAAAUUCAUAUUUGAAUUUUAACAAGUUGGUUGUGUAUUGGAGAUUAUUGGACUCAAAUCUCAUUAUUCUUGGUUGAGUAACAAUUUUCUUAGUUGGCAUGGGCUCCACUUUCAACUCAAAUCUCAUAUUGAAACUCAAAUUGGGUCUCCAUUCCCCCAGAGACAUAAAUAUGAGUUUUAAGCGAAGUGUAGUCAAUUUGGAUUUCAUAGGAUUUUAAUAGAUUUUGUUAAGGGACAUAUUUUAAAAGAUUUUAAUAGAUUUUACAAUUCUAUAUGGAUUUUGAAAGAUUUAUAUGAAUUUCCAUUAUAAUUUUCUAUGGAUUGUAUGAACUUUUUUCAUGGAUUUCUUAGGAUUUAUGUGGACAUUUUCACGGAUUUAUAUCAAAGUUACAAGUGGCUAAUAUAUUUCUUCCCAAAUUUUUAUCGAAUCACAUCUCAUAACACAUCAACCCAAAAUCUUAGUAGCAUCAAAUUCAUGUCAAAAAUUGCCACAACAUUACACACAUUAUACGAAAAGCAAUUAAAACCAACAGAAACUUCAUUAGACGAAAGGCGGAGGAAAAAAACUCAACCGAUUCGUCAGAUACUUCUUGAGGCAUUUAAACAAACAACUUGUAGGCCAAAAUUGCAUAACCCUAGUUCACCAAACCAGUACAGGGAAUUCCCGAAAAACAAUUUCUUUCCACUUUCUGAUUAAAAAAAAAAAACCCAAUUGCCAUUUUCACGUAUUGACACCAGAUCAAAACGAAAAACCCAAAAUUUUUCAAUUGCAUUCAUCUAACCUACCAAAAAAUUGUUACAGUUACGAUAAUUUAAAUUCUUUUCGAUACUUCAAAAAAAAUUGCAAAUAAGAAGUGGAUUAAGAAGAACACGAAUUAUAAAGCAAAACAACAUAAAGAUAAAAAUAUAAAGAUACAAUUGUUACUCAUCUUCCCAGAGGAACAAACCAAAUGCAGAAAAAAAUACAGCAAAAAUGCGAAAUGCAAGUUUAUAGGGAGGAAUGCUCGGAACUCAGGCUAGGACUAUUCAUCUUCUAUGGUUUGGAAUGAAAAAAAAAAUCAGACGGGGAGGGUUGGAUUGUUGAUGGCAUUUGGUAUUUAUACCACCCACUCUCAAAUCCAUCAAAAUCAUUCAUCCACCAAAAUUCUAGUAAAUCUUUGGCAUUCCCACUACACUUAGAUUUGUAUGGACAUUUUAAAAUUUUAAUUGACUACCCAUAGAUUUGGAUGUAUUAUUUAAAUCCUCUCAAAUCCUGAUUUGACUAAACUCUGAUUUUAAAAUCUUUUAAAAUCCACCUUCAAACUCCUAAUGGACUACACUCUAAUUUUAAAAUUUAUUAAAAUACCAUCAAAUCCAAAUUUGACUACACCCUUAAGUCUCUGGUGCAUUGGAGAACCUUUAGACUCCUAUGUAGAUCAAAUAUAAGAUUUGAGUCCAAAUUUUUUGGUGCAUCAGAGAUGCUUAGUGUGCUCGAAAUAUAAGGCGGUCAAGAUUGAAUUAAACGAUCAAGAUUGAAUUGAGAAAUGACGAUCAAGAUUGAACUAAGAAAAUGGAUUACCCAGUAAUUCAAAUUAUUGAAGACUGACCUAUAUUGGACUACCCAGUAAUUCAAACUAAUGAAGAUUUACCCAUAAAAUGAGACAUUAAUCUUGUCGUCCUUGGAGUACACGUACAAAUUUCUAGGGUAGUGCUAUCACACACCUAUUUUUACUUUUCAUACACCCCUCUCAAUUUUCGGACGUCGGAUAGAAUGAGUUGAAGAAGAACAAUGGCAAAAAAUUAAUAAGGAUGUGUAAGAAGUAAAAAUGGGUGUGUGAAGAACAUUUUUCCAAUUUCUAAUGAUUUAGCUCUUUGAUUUGAACCAUGAGAUAAGCAUGUGGUCUUCAUCAAGGUAAUGGAGUGGCGCGUGAGGAUCGUGUAAAAGAUUGAAAACCAAGAAACGAGAGGGUAUCAAAUGAUUGAGAGAAGUGUGUCUGGUUAGGACAACGAACUUUUAUAUUGACAGAUCUUUCCCAGCGACCGCCCAUAACUUUGAGCGGAAGUGACUAUAAAUUCUUGACCAUAUCACCAAGCAAUCGAAAUUCGUUAUUUUAAAUGGAAUUGCACAGAUAAUUCAUGUGAUUGUAGAGAGAUGUCUCAAAAUAAUCUGAAAGAUUUAAGAAUACUCAUGUGGUGGAAUUAAUUUUCUCAGUUCAAAUUGAGACAAUUGUGAUGUUGAAGGUUGGUAACGUACAAAAGGGAAAAGAAGGAGAGGCCGAAGGGCACGUCAACGACUCAAUGCACAAUAAAGAGAAAGAUCGGUUGUGUUUAAUUCCAAUCAAUUUUUGUCACAAUAAAGAGAAAGAUCGGUUGUGUUUAAUUCCAAUCAAUUUUUGUCAAAUGUGUGGUUUGUGUUCCUGGGUUUAUGCUUAGUGUGUAACUUUUUGACAGAACUUGAGCGAAGAUUGUUAUCGAAACAAAUUUCCGCCGUCUCUUCAUUUGACGAAAAUGCACCUACAAAAUAAUAACGCCUAAGAUUUGUUGGAAAUUAAAUAUUAUAAUUUAAAGGGUGCCGCAAGGGGCGCCAUCCCCUUUAGUGAUGUGUCUGUUAAAGGGUAUUACUUAAACUACCUAAACCCUAAAUGAUACAUCUCUUCGGCAAACAAUAUAUUUGAGUUCUAUAAAAACUCAAAAACUAUUGUCUUUUAAGAUAUAGAAUUAAGAAAAGAGUUUCCUCCAAUGUCUUAGUAAAAAUCCGAGUCGUGUCUUGAGAGUACGGUAUAUAUGAAGUUCGCCAGAGUCUGAAGAUUGAAGUGCUUUGACUUUGGAUUAUAGAUUGUUGAAUCCUAGGUGACGGACACCUACCGAACUACAAGCACAAGGGUAGGGGCGAAAUUCUGUCUUUAGAACAUUGCAUUUAUGCAAGCCUCAAUUUCUAAGUUUGUCAGUUUUUCUAACUAUAUCUUUAGUUGUUUAUAUGAAUUUUGUAUACUAUUGAUGUUGUGAAUUUCUUUAUGAUUAUUAUUAUUGAAAUUUUUGUGUUAUUUCCAUAUUUUCUAUUAUUGCUUGUAUAUAUAGUGUACAAAACAACACAAGAAUUUUGGGAUUUAUUGAUGAUGAUGAUGAAGAUAGAAGGUUAUUUGUCUUAUAUAUAUUUAUUAGAAAUUAUAAUCUAACUGCUUUUAAAUUAAUCUUAGUUUGAAUUUGAUUUCUCUUGGCAUUCUAGGCAUGUCACGAUCAGGCAAUGUUUUAAAGUUUGAGGCCUGGUAAAAUUAUGCAUGUUGCCACUGUUGUUGAUGUUGUUGUUAAUUAUAUAAAUUGUAUGAUAUAUAGAAAUCUCAUACUUGGCUACUACUCUAUGUACAUGUCUUUUUUAACUGCUUUACAUAGAAAUUAAAAGAUGGAGAUUCUAGUUUCCAGAAAGAUACAGUGAUAACAAUUUUUAUUAUAUGGGUACUGGAAUUAUUAUAAGAUCUGUUUAAAAUCCAUGUUUAGUGUUUGUCUCCUUUUUAUGAAGAAAGGUGUCGAUUAAGGCCAAGUGAAAUGGUAUGAUUGUGAGGAUGUGAAGACAAAAGGGGUUCCACAUCGGUGAAAAGAGAAACAUAACAAGACCUUAUAAGGAAUUGGGUUGUUCUCCAUAUUGUCAAUUGGUUAUGUGUUGGAAUCCCAACUUUCUUCAAUAGUCAUACAAAAUUGGCAUUAUUUGCAAAUCUAAAAGGGUCAUAAUGUACCAGUUCGUGGACUGAUGCAAUAUUUCUUUCGUGGGACAAAGGAGAUCAAUAUUUGAUCGGGCACGAGGAUGAUUAAUAGGUUUUUGUUGAGAAAACCCUUAUAUUCAUCAAGAUGUCAGCGAAAGCUCUUGAUGAAGAGUGAAUACCCAAAUAAAAUGGGGUUGUUUUAAAUUUGUAUUGAAAUAGUUGGAAAACGCCAGUACAAGAUAUGAACCCAACUUCCAUGGUAUCAUGGAAUAUAAGAUGAGUGCAGACUACUCAUAUAUAAGUGUCCAUUCAUGGAAAGAAUGGAAUACGUACGAAGAAAAUUGAACAAUUACUCAGGCAUAUAUGUGCAUAUGCAAAAUUGGGUCUAGCCUUCAUUAAUGAUAAGAACCCAGAAAGUGGAUGAAUUUGGCUUUGAGAAGCAACAAAAAUAAACUGAUAAACUGAACUCAUUUUAGAUGAGUUAUCUAUCAACGUCGAAAGAUGCUUAUUUAAUUAUGGGGUCAAGGUCCAAGACUUAUAUUGAACCAUGUGGCGGUUAAGUUGCAAAAAGAUGCAACUAUUUAACAAAUGGAUGGUUUUGUAAUGUGGUGGAAUUGGAAAUUGAAAUCUACCAUGUGAGAUUCAAAGAAAAAGCAUGUCAUUUGAAGUGCUGUUUUUGACAGUGAAAGGGUAUGCCACUGCCUCCAAAAUGAUAGAUUUUGCUCCUUUUCUGUCCCCAUAUGCGCAUUGCCAUGCACUUGGACAAUUUUUCCACGUCUAGUGCAUACAAUCGAUGCUUCCUAUCAUCCCAGGAAAACCUCGCAUCUCGCCCUUCUUCAGAAGCCUUUGCAAGUCCAUAUGAGUAGGUCUUCGGAGGUACUCUGCGGUGUACAAAGAUUUGACUGCUCCGCAAAACCUCAUCAGGGCCUCAAGAAUGGUUGAUUUCCCCAUCCUCGUUAUCUCAUCCACUUGGUCUGCAUAUCCUUCAUACGCAAGCAUCCGCAAUGCAUCAGUGAUUUUUUGCUGAGGCAGGAGACCCAUAACACCACAAGCAUCCUUCUUUUGCACAAAGUAAGAAUCAUGGUUGCAAACAUCAGUCAUGAUUCUGUUGAACAAAUGUCGUUCCAUUCUAAAACGGCGUCUGAAGCACGUAUCAGGAAAUGCACUGUUAUGGACAAAAUAAUCAUCCAACAGCUCUUCACCCUGUCGUUGCCUGCUUCUAUCAAGGUUUCUUGAACGGUUGGGCCUGCAUAUCUGAGCAACAGUCUGGAUGACUCGACGGGAAUGUGAGGUUCUGGCCAUUCUUGUUUCGUCAUCUCUCCUUCUACGCUCCUCAUCCUCUUCCAUCUCAUUUUCGGCUAUCUGAAGGUUGAACAUUCCUUCAGAUUGGUUAAACAAUUUUUCCUCUUGCUGAUCGAUUUCCCACAUCAUCCUUGAUGAAGAAAAAGACAUUGUAAGGAUGGAUGGUGAAGAAGAAGCAUAAACUAUGAAUAAUUAGAUUGAGAUGUUGAGAAAAUUGGUGUGAGAUUUGUGAGGAUGGAUGGUGGAUUAUAUGGACGAUUCAAAAAGGAUUGGAUUGUAGAUAAGGCCACGUGGCAUGCCAUUAUUCGUUAAAAAUAUGAUCGAAAUCUAUCCUCAAAGAUUCUGAAAAGAUGAUGACACGUGGCACGAUCGUAUUGGAUAAAAAUCUUAUCGAUAUCAAUCUCCAAUAAUUAUCUUUUCGGAUAAUGACACGUGGCGCAAUUUUGAACGAGUUAAAAUUUGAUCGAAAUCUAUCGUCAAAGAUUCUCAAAAGAUAACGACACGUGGCACGAUGACAUUGGAUAAAAAUCUUAUCGAAAUCCAUCGCUAAAUAAUUGUUUUUUUUAUAAAAUGACACGUGGCGCAACGAGAACGAUUUAAAAAAUCUUAUCCGAAAUUACAAAUAAUUUUAUUUUGUAUUAUUUAAACAAACAAAAAAAACUAAUAUUUUAUUGCCUAUUGCCAGGGGGAAGGCUCCAAUGGUGGAGAUGCAAAUGGCAAUUACUGUUCAUUAAUGACAGUUACUAUUCAUUAAAGGCAGUUACUGUUCAAUAUGGUGGAUUCAAUAGUGGAUUGCCAGGAGGGAGGGUUCCAUGAGUGGAGUUGCUCUUAAUGCUGGAAAUGUUUUUCUCCUUAAUUGUAUUGGGAACGGUUUGGACUAGAGGUUUUUUUUUGAGUUAAGUGUCGGAUUGUCCCCGUGAAUAGUCAUUCCUAAACCAUUUGUGUGGGCUUAAAUUCUUUGUAAUUAGUUUAAAGCAACGUCGCUUGUAAUAAAAAAACAUUAUAUAAAGCAACGUCGCUUGUUCAUUUUUUGAACUGUUGCAAAGUUUGCAACUACUUAUUAAUCUUUGAAACUAUAAGAGCUGUCUUAUUAUACUUUUUAUAUGCUACUUUCCUCCAUCGUCAUUUCUCUCCUUGCAUUUUAUGACUAACUAGCUAGCCAAAAUGUAAAUGCCAAAAGAUUGUUGGAGCCAAAUAAUAAAGUUCAACUCUAAUUGAAUUACUUAGUUAUAAUUGAUUUGAAUUAGGGUCAGAGUUUUAAUUAGUUAGCUAUUCCUUGUGCCAAAAAGAAAAGUGAAAUCCGUAUAUUCCUUCCUGUUGGUUAUAUGGGGUUCUUAUGUGGAAUACAUUUUCAUGGGCUUUAUAAGUACGGUUUAUAGCAGCCGCCAGUGAGUAUAAUUCUAGGAACUUGAAACUUAUAUAAAAUUGAGGCCCUAUGCACACUGCUAACACCACAAUAGCAAGAACUCCCCAUCAGUUUAUUGUAUAAGGAGCAACAGUGCAUAGAAGUGCUUCAAUCUAUUCCGUCCUGAAGUUUGAUCAUCCAUAAAUUCAUCAUGUUGUCUUCUCAGGUAUGCAAGGUUUACGUGUUUUGAUUUGAUGAACUGAUAAAGUUUACAAAGAUUUGGAGUUAAGUUGGUUAUUAAGAGUGUUUGACAAAUAAAUUACACAUGAGUCUUGCGUAGUCAAGGAACUUAUAUGAACAUGAAUUUGAAAAUUGUGAGUGUGCCACUACUUGUUCCCGCUAAUAGACUAUAUGAUGAAAAAUUGUACUAUUUAACUUCUAACUAAAAUGAAGAGGCUCAACUUAAAUUCUUUCUUUGUCUUACUUAUUUAAGAACUCCUCUUACAUAGAUAUAGAACAAGGUGAAAAUUAUUGGAAUAUGAAUUGAUAUGAAUUUGGUUAUAUAUAUAUAUAUUCAAUGAUAUUCAAUUGCAAUAGAAAAGAGCUGCAUUUAAAUUGAUUAAAUAAGGGAUUUGAUAUAAUGCGGCCACCGCCUAAAACAUCUUCUCCCCAUCGACCAACGCCCAAACAAAAGGAAGACUAUUCCUUUAUUGCCAAAGCAAGUCUAAGAAUUUCUCUUUUUCAAUAUUUGUUGUAUCAAACGAAAUAGUUUAUCAUCCAAAUCAUGCUUUACAAAUCAAACCUCCCUUUCCAAGCAUACAAUUCAAAAACAAAAAAUUUAGAAAAAAAAAAGGUUUGAUCUUAAGAAUGAUCGCAAACAAGCGAGCCAAGAACAGACAGGCUUUGGGCUUUUUAUUUUUUAUUAAUUCAACGUAUUACAAAAAAAAUAUUUUGGAGCUGCUUUGUCAGUAUAUAUUUGAAAACAAAGGGAAAGGGACACAGAUGUAGUUGGUUAAGAUGCUUCUCGAUUAGCUAUGAAAUCUUUAUACGUGCAUGGGUGUUGGCUGGUCAAUUUCUCACCUGCUCAAGCAUGCAUAAGCUCAGGUUCUAAAGUAUAAUUUAUACCCUGGAACUAGCAAAUUAAACUGUUUUUUAUGCUUUGACUAUAUACUAUAGUCUGUUUGUCCGUCCUAAAUAAAUAUUUUGUUAUAAAUAUGAUAUAUAUUUUUUCUCUCAAAACUGUUACGUAUGUGAUCAAUUCAAAAAGCACUACAAUUUAGCUUGUCAAAUGAAAAGUUUGAAGCGGUAGGUGUUAAGUUCGAGUUAUCUAAAUUAUGAGUUUGAUAUCUAAUUAUUAUAGCUGAUUUAUUAUGUGACUUAACUGAAUCCGUUAACCAUUAGGGUUUAUUGUUUAUACAGAAAAAAAAAGUUUGUUGUUGGGCUACUUAGUGAUCAACUUGCUAUAUCAUCAUGUUCAUGUGCCAUAUUUUGUUAUUGCCUAAUCACCUGUUCUUGUAACAGUCGUCUUGUUUAUCCAGAGACGGACCUUGGAUUUCAAAGUUGUCUGAGCUAAAUUUACCUCACAUACAAUACAAGAGAUAAAGGAGAGGAAAUUACUUUGUCACAGCUACACGAAACUAAUGUAUUUGGGAUAGGAUCUUCAGCCAUUACUGCUAGAAAUGCUCUUCUCGUCGGUUGUAUUUGGAACAAUUGAACUGGAGGUUUCUCUAUUUAGUUAAGUUACUUUCCAACCAUUUGCGUUUCAAAUCCUCUUCCUCCUCUUAGUCUAGUUUAAAGCAAUGUCACUUGUAAUAAAGAACAAUAUAAAACCCAAUUAGUCAAUAUUUAUGACAUGUUUACUUCAAGUAAAGAUACAUAAACCGUUGGAGCAAGGGAAUAAGCAAAAUAAAUCUGUUUAACUAGCCACCUAGUUUAUAUAAUUCUUAAUUUUCAGAUAUUAACUUAUAAGCUUUCAGGCGGGAGUUGUCCACACCUAGACGGAUUUCAUUUGUAUUAAAACAACAAAAUUUAAAAAAUCAGAAUGAUUUGAAUUCUCAUAUACAUGUCAUUAACAUUAAAAUUUGAAACAUAAACCCAAUAUGACGCAUUUUAUGGUCUAAUUGUAAUAAACUUACGAUGUAGUUCACCACAUGAUGUGCAUAAUUAAAAUAAGGCCCAAUGUUAGCGUACUUCUUACUCGCCCAAGCCCAAAACUAGAGUUGAGUUCGGUUUCAAUCUGUUCAGUUUUUUGUCAAAACCAUAACUAAACCAAAAUUUCGAUUCGGUUUAAUACUUUUAGGUUUUUGUUCGAUUCAGUUUAAUUUUAGUUUGGUUUGUUAAUGUUAGCGUACUUCCCAAUGCUCCCUCUUUUGUCUUCUUCCUUACUUGGCUUCGCGCUGAUUCGUUUGAACCUGCAAACGACCACGGACGGCUUUUCCGAAACCUUAGUUACGUCUCGUAUGAGCCCGAAACAAAAAGCCGAACAUUCUUCUCGCAACCAAAAUAUCAUCCGACCGGAGAAAAGUUAAGCACAGCAGAAAUGGAUCUGAGAGAAAGCGUCAUCAACCAAAACGACUUCGCUCUGGGGCUGACGAAGCAGCUGCUUCAGACCGAAGGCAAGCAAUCGAACCUCGUGUACUCGCCGGUGUCCAUCCACGUGCUGUUGAGCCUGAUCGCGGCCGGCUCAAAGGGUCCGACUCAGGACCAGCUGCUGUCUUUUCUCAAAUCAAAGUCCACCGACCACCUCAACUCCUUCGCCGCCGAGCUCGUGUCCAUGAUCUUCUCCGAUGGGUCCCCUAGCGGCGGCCCCCAGCUGUCGUUUGCUAAUGGGGUUUGGGUGGACGGGUGUCUCCCUCUGAAGCCUUCUUUUAAGCAGGUGGUGGACACCUCUUACAUGGCUGCUCUUGCCCAAGUCGAUUUUCAGACCAAUGUAAGCUCUCAAACCCACUGUCCUGUCGUUUCGAUUGUCUUUUUUUCCGAGGAUGCUCUUGAUCAAAGUCUUCAAUUUUUUCGAUGUGAUUAGAGAUGCUUGUUCCUUUGUUGAACCUAAAUUGUAGGCCUGCUGAAUCUCUUUUACUUGUAGCAUUUCAACUAAAAAUUUCCUUUCUCUAAUCAUUAAUGUUUGUGCUUGUUAGCUAUUACAGAAUCAUAUCGUAAUUCGUAGAUUUUUGUUAUAGUACGAUCAUCACUAGGUUAAUAGUAUUGAAGUAACAUGCAGGCUGAUAUAUCAUUGUUUUCUAACUUGUCGUAACUGUUGCUGGUGCUCGAGGCUGCUCAAGUGGCCUCGGGAGUGAAUUCAUGGGCUGAAAAGGAGACGAGAGGCCUUAUCAAGGAGGUACUUCCUCCCGGGUCAGUUGACAGCUCAACCAGGCUCAUCUUUGCAAAUGCGUUAUACUUCAAAGGAGCUUGGACUGAAAAGUUUGAUGCAUCACAAACGAAAGAGCAUGAUUUCUACCUUCUCGAUGGGAGCACAGUUAAGGUGGCCUUCAUGACCAGCAGGAAGAAGCAGUAUGUAAGAUCCUUCAAUGGUUUCUCAGUCUUAGGGCUUCAUUACAAGCAAGGUGAAGACAAGCGAUGUUUCUCCAUGCACAUGUUUCUCCCAGAGGCGAAAGAUGGGCUGCCAGCUUUGGUUGAGAAACUUGGUUCUGAGUCCGGGUUUUUGGAUCGCCAUCUUCCUAACCAAAAAUUUGCAGUGGGUGAUUUCAGGAUUCCAAAGUUUAAGAUUUCAUUUGGGUUUGAAGCUUCCAAUGUCCUUAAAGGUCUUGGCUUGGUGCUGCCAUUCGGUGGCGGAGGAGGUUUGACAGAGAUGGUGGACUCGCCUGUGGGUAAGAACUUGUACGUUUCCGGCAUAUUCCAUAAGUCGUUCAUCGAAGUGAACGAAGAAGGCACAGAAGCUGCAGCUGUGUCUGCCGGGCGUGUUAGGCGUUUGCGUCUGGUAGUGCCAAGGACGGUUGACUUUGUGGCCGAUCGUCCAUUUCUCUUCUUGAUCAAGGAAGAAUUGACCGGAACUGUGCUUUUCAUCGGGCACGUACUCAAUCCUCUUGCAGACUGAGCGUUGUUAUUCCCUGUAAAAGGCAAAUGUAUACGUAGAACUACACGAGAUUAUAUAUAAAAUGUAUGAUCAUCUCUAUUAAAAUAAAUGUAUGAUCAUCAUGUUCACGUCGUCUUGUUUAUAUAUAUAAAUGUAUGAUCAUCUGUGUUAAAAUAAAUGUAUGAUCUUCAUGUUCAUGUCGUCUUGUUUCUCUCAUAUGGCUUUUGUUGUUCGUUCUGCCAUGGCUAUACCUACCCGAAACUGUUGGAAAUGCUUUGGGGAUAGGCUUUUACCCAUUAAUGCUGGAAAUGUUUUUCUCCUUAAUUGUAUUGGGAACGGUUUGGACUAGAGGUUUUUCUUUUUAGUUAAGUGUCGGAUUGUCCCGGUGAAUAGUCAUUCCUUAACCAUUUGCAUGGGCUUAAAUUCUUUGUAAUUAGUUUAAAGCAACGUUGCUCUUGUAAUAAAAAAACAUUAUAAACCAAGUGCUCGGUAAUUAUUGCACGUUCAGUUAACAUGAAUCGGGACAAGUAAAGAAUCAUAGAACUUACGAGCAGGGAAUGUACAGAGGGAAAAUUUAUCUUAUCAACUGGCCAUGUAAUUUACAUAAUUCUUGAAUUUUAGGUUAAGUUAUAUUUUGUAGAUCAGGCGUAAGUUGAUUUUUUUUUUAAAUUAUUAAAGAAAUCAAUCAUCAAUUAUCACAUAAUGUGAUUUGUAAAAUAUUGUUCGAGUAGAUAGUCUCUCGAGAAUGACUCAAACUUUAUAAUGAUUUUGAUUUUUAUUACAUAGUAAUCAUGUCAUUAAGGUCAAACUUUGAACAAACAUCCAUUUACAUAGCAAGCAUGUUAUUAUGGUGUAUGCUCAUCGUCGCUUUCAAACCUUGACAUGUGUCUUCUAACAUAACCAUAAUGAAAAUUAUACUUUCAAAUUUAUUUUUUUUAUUUUGAAAGGAUGUCAACUAGUGCCAAGCUAGGACUAGAAACACAAUUUGGCAACAACAUUCCAUAUUUACCCCUGCUUUUGCUGGCUGUAUCUCAAAAAUAUAUGGGCAGUCCUCCUAAUUUUCAUCUUCUUACCGGAAUCUCACCCCACAAAUCAAAUUACAGCCCACAACUGCCUAAUUUUUGUUAGUACCAAAAUCAAGAACCAAUAACAAUAUCUUAUUAUUCGUUGCAGUUUAAAUGACACUUGUUGAUGAGUUUUGUUGCAGUUAAAUUUCAGGAUAAUAUUAGAGAGACUAAAUUUGAAGAUGAAAUUUACAAAUUAAAUGUUAUGUCACCAAUAAAAAUGAGCAUGUUUAUUAACGUUUAAAUGAUAAACCAAUUAUCAACUUCUAUAUAUGUUUGAACCCGAUGUUACACCAUCGGUUCGAGUAAUCGAGGCUAUUGAAUAAGCAGAAUUUUAGAUCGUUGAAAUUAUUAGAAAAUCUGAGCAUGCACGAUAGUUAUAACGGUGAGAAAAGUUACGGUAAUAUUAGCGUACUUCUUACGUGGCCACGCCCAAAACGAAGUCGUGGCAACUCGCGCGAAUGCCACUGCUCCCUCUAUCGUCUUCUUUCCCGCUUGGCUUCGCAUUGAUCGUUUGAACCUGUAACCGAUCACCGAUCACCGACGACCGACACCGACUUUCCUAUUUUCUCGAUGGUGAGAAAGCAUACGGCCCAAUAUUAGCGUACUUCUUACGUGGCCACGCUCAAAACGAAGCGUGGCGACUCCCACGAAUGCCACUUCUCCCUCUAUUGUCUUCUUCCCCACUUGGCCUCGCAUUGAUCGUUUGAACCUGCAACCGAUGACCGACGACCGACACCGAGAUUUUCCCAAACCUUGGUCCUUACUCUCGUAUAAAUUAGAAACGAACAGCGGAACAAUUUUCUCGCAACCGGAAGCACAGCAAACAUGGAUCUGAGAGAAAGCAUCAUCAACCAAAACGACGUCGCAAGGAGGCUGACGAAGCAGCUGGUUCAGACCGAAGGCAAGCAGUCGAACCUCGUGUACUCGCCGCUGUCCAUCCACGUUGUGCUGAGCCUGAUCGCGGCCGGGUCAAAGGGUCCCACCCAGGAGCAGCUGCUGUCGUUCCUCAAGUCAAAGUCCACCGACCACCUCAACUCCUUCGCCUCCCAGCUCGUGUCCGUGAUCUUCUCCGACGGGUCCCCCGUGGGCGGCCCCAAGCUGGCGUUUGCGAAUGGGGUUUGGGUGCACAAGCCUCUCCCGCUGAAGCCUUCCUUCGAGCAGGUGGUGGACGCUUCUUACAAGGCCGCUCUUGCCCCAGUCGAUUUUCAGACCAAUGUAAGCUCCCAAACCCUCUGUCAUGUCGUAUCGAUAGUGUUUUUUUUCAAUGCUGCUCAUGAUCAAAGUCUUCAAUUUUUUUCGAUUUGAUUGGAGAUGUUUGUUCCUUUGUUGAACCUAAAUUGCAGGCCUGCUGAUGCUCUUUUAUUAUUGUAGCAUUUCAAAUAAAUAUUUCCUCUCUAAUCAUUACUGUUCGUGCUUGUUCUUCUGAAUAGCUUAGCUGUUACGAAAUCGUAUCGUAGAUUUUUUGUUCGUUACUGUUUGUGGUUGUAAUUGAUCGAGAUAUGCAGGCUGAUAUCAUUGUUUUCUAACUUGUCGUAACUGUUGUUGGUGCUCAAGGCUGCUCAAGUGGCGUCGGGAGUGAAUUCAUGGGCUGAAAAGGAGACGAGCGGCCUUAUCAAGGAUCUACUUCCUCCCGGGUCACUUGACAGCUCAACCAGGCUCAUCUUUACGAAUGCAUUGUACUUCAAGGGAGCUUGGAAUGAGAAAUUUGAUGCAUCAGCUACAAAAGAGCAUGACUUCCACCUUCUCGACGGGAGCACAGUUAAGGCGCCCUUCAUGACCAGCAAGAACAAGCAGUAUGUAAGUGCCUUUGACGGUUUCUCAGUCUUAGGGCUUCCUUACAGACAAGGUGAAGACAAGCGGCGCUUCUCCAUGCACAUCUUUCUUCCACAGGCGAAAGAUGGGCUGCCAGCUUUGGUUGAGAAACUUGGCUCUGAGUCCGGGUUUUUAGAUCGCUAUCUUCCCAAACAACCAGUUGCAGUGGGCGACUUCAGAAUCCCAAAGUUUAAGAUCUCAUUUGGGUUUGAAGCUUCCAAUGUCCUAAAGAGUCUGGGACUGGUGCUGCCUUUCGAGGGUGAAGGAGGUCUGACAGAGAUGGUGGACUCGCCCGAGGGUAAGAAGCUAUAUGUUUCUAGCAUAUUCCACAAGUCGUUCAUCGAAGUGAAUGAAGAAGGCACAGAAGCUGCAGCUGCUUCUGCCGGCGUUAUAAGUGAGAGGAGGAUGCCCAUGACAUUUGUGGCUGAUCGUCCAUUCCUCUUCACGAUCAGGGAAGAAACGACCGGAACAGUUCUGUUCAUCGGUAACCUGCUCAACCCUCUUGCCGGCUGAGUGUUACAACCCCCUGGGAAAGGGCAUCAGAUGUACGUAGAAUAAUACGCGCGAGACUGUAGUAAAUAAAAUGUAUGAUCCUUGUAUACAUGUACUAUGUUUGGUUAUUACCUAAUCACCCUGUACUUGCAGCAGUUGGUCUUGUUUCUCCCAUGUGGCGAUUUUUGUUUGUUCUCCCAUGGCGUUUAUCCAUGUGUAGAAUCUUGAUUCUGAAUACUUAUUUUAUGAUGUACUCUGUUUGAACAAUAAAAGUUUUAGCCGACUGCAAACGUCGGUUAGUGUUAAAGUAUUUAAUAUAUAGAAUGGACGAGUGCUAGUGUUGUACCAUACACAUGGUUGGUGAUGAAAAAGAUUAAACUUUGAAUAUUCUAUAAAAUAUUAUUUAACUUGGGACGAGGAUCUUCUUUGUGAGGAUCUUAUGAAUUAAUUUAUCUUAACGGUUCAUUGUACAUCGUGUGACCAUCUUUCAUUAGAUACUUUUUGUGUUAAAUUUUAAAUAAAUUCAAAAUAAUUUUUGGCUGCAGGAUGAUUGAUAAACAGAUAUGAUGCAUUGAUUCCUAAAGUCCUCACAAAGAGAAUCCGGAUGUUUAUAGUCCUCCAUGACUGGAGAUGGCCUAAGAUGCUAAACACUUAACACUACCCAAUUUUUCCAGUUAGUUAAAUUUUCACAAUUAGUGUAUUAAAUUGCUUAAGAAAUGUUAUCAGCACUCUAAAAUAAUUGACCAUAUUUUCUUGACUCUUUUGUUAAAUUGCAUGAAGAUUUUUUUGGAUAGUCAAUAAUAUCUCCCAAUUGCUUAACAUAGAAUUAAAUAGAGUAUCGCUAACUAGAGCAUGAUAUGUUUCUGUGUCUUUGAUGCCCUUUGCUCGAGAAAAUUUAGUAUAGGGUUUUCAUCACAAAUGGUCCCUGACAUUGAUCAAACACAUCAUUUUGGUCCCUGACAUUGAAAAUCAAUAGAAAUGGUCCCUGACAUUGAUCAAACACAUCAUUUUGGUCCCUGACAUUGAAAAUCAAUAGAAAUGGUCCCUGACAUUGAUCAAACACAUCACAAAUAGUCCUUCCGUUAAAAACGUUUUGGGCAAUUUUCAAAGCUUUGUAACUCAAUCGUUUCUUAACCAAAUUCGACCCAUAAUAUAUCAAAAUGAAGAUAGGAAAGUGUAGAACAAGAUUAUACCUAUUUGGAAACCCAAUGGUUGCCGGAGAUGGCCGGAAAACAGCCUCAAAUGUGACUGGUCCGCGAAAAAACUGGAAAACUCGCCUGAAAUGGGGUAAACUUUAAACAUUCAUAACUUCUUCAAUAAUCAACGAAAUCGAGUGAUUCAAAAAUGAAAAUCAUACUUCUCGACGAGACUAAGAGAAUGGUAGCUUUCUUGAUGGCUAACUCAUUGUAGUUUGGCCGGAAAAUGACUCGAAAUUGGCUAACUCGAAAAUGGUUAUCCAAGUUCGAGCCAUUUUCCGGUCAAACCACGGUAAAUUAGUAGUCAAUAAAGAUACCAUUAUCUUUCUCUCAUUGAGAAGUAUGAUUUUCAUUUUUGAAUCACUCAAUUUCAUUGAGUAUUGAAGAAGUUAUGAAUGUUUAAAGUUUACCCCAUUUCAGGCGAGUUUUUCAGUUUUUUCGCGGACCAGUCACAUUUGAGGCUGUUUUCCGGCCAUCUCCGGCAACCAUUGGGUUUCUAAAUAGGUAUAAUCUUGUUCUACACUUUCCUAUCUUCAUUUUGAUAUAUCAUGGGUCGAAUUUGGUUAAGAAACGAUUGAGUUACGAAGCUUUGAAAAUUGCCCAAAACGUUUUUAACGGAAGGACCAUUUGUGAUGUGUUUGAUCAAUGUCAGGGACCAUUUCUAUUGAUUUUCAAUGUCAGGGACCAAAAUGAUGUGUUUGAUCAAUGUCAGGGAUCAUUUGUGAUGAAAACCCUUUAGUAUAUGAACGACAAACUACGUGUUAUUACGGCCACAGACGAUAAUCCAGACUAUUUGUUUAAUACUUAAGCUUACUUGUGGUCCCAUUAUGUAAAAAAAUUUUGCAUUAGUCUGCACACAAGAAAUUUUUUAUUGGUUUCAGUUGAGCUCAAAUAAUAAUAAUCUGUUCGUGUAAAAGUUAAAAUUUAUCUUAUUAUGUAAUUGAUUUAAAAUACCGUAAAUACUGAUUUAAAAUUAUCUCAUUGUCAGCUUGUGUGUCAUUCUCGUAGAAUUUGGAAUUAUUCACAUUGUUUAGUAACGUAGGAUAUUUCAAGAAGCAUUUUUGCUCACUAUCAUUUAGUGUAAUGUAUAUUCAUCAUUCUAUUUAUCAUCGUUAGAUGAGUUUGAAUUUUAAGAUCCGUGUAGUGGAUAGACACAAAUUUCAAAAUUCAAUCUCAUCUAACGAUAAUAAAUAUGAUGAUGAACAUAAAUCAAAUAAAUGAUGAUGAAAAAAAAUACAUAGAUAUUUCAGUACAUGAAAACGUCACGUUAAUGAAAGGAGCUGGAGCGCCUGCUGCUGACCUCGGUCAAACAGACGGUGUGGGUUUCACGUGGCUGGCGCGAAAUCUAAACCGUUAAUUUAAUGUUAGUUAUCUCUCCCCUUGUCACGACUCCCAUGUAAUGCUGUAAAGUCACAAGCACCCAUCGUUUGGUUCUAAUAUUACAACAGUACCGCCCAUGGAAACACAAUCUUAAGCAAUCUCUAAUACUCAUAAUGUUGUUGAAGUUUUGCACUAAUAAUAGUUGCUAAACAGUGAUUAGACAGUCAGAUAAGAGACAGGGUUUAUGAUGUGAUUUGGACGUCCCAUCCUUUGCCACUUAAAAUGUCUUACCUACCAAACAUAUCUUGAAAAAUAAUUUAGCUUGGUACGAAGAAUCACAAUUUUUGUUUAUAAUUGACGAAAUCAAUCAAUGCAUGUUUUUUAUCAAAUCAAUAUUUAUUGGGAUAUUCAUCCUUAAAAUCUUCAUUUUGUUAUAAAACAACAAUAUAUUUAUUAUUUUUAAAAUUUUGUAAUACGUUUAUUUAAGUAGUGACUUUGAACGUUUUAAAAUUGAAAAAUCAAUAUUUAAAUGCAAAGUUGUCCGUUUUGAAUAAUCUCUAACAAUAUUUUCCUUCUCGUAAAUGAGUAAGAUUGGUUUAUUUUGUACACAAUUAGAUAUUGAGAGUUGAAAUUCUAAAUACUAAGUUCUUCUUAACAUAUUUUCGUAACCAUUUAAGAUGUUUGUAUAUUCGAAGAAUAUGGAAAAAUUGAAUCAACCCAGAUUAUUAUUAUGGCUGUCGACAUCUUUUAUCAGAGGAUAGCCAUCAAGUCACACCGCAUAUCCAGAAAGAGAAAUCCAUCCAAAAAAUAGGAAAACGAAAUGACAUUCCUUAUUUUCCUCCAUGGACGUCCCUUCUCUCCCCACCACGAAGGUCCCAGCUGAAAAGAAACGGAUGGCACAAUCGUGAUUAUCACAAACAGGAAUGUCAAAUUGUAGCAAGAGCAUGGUCAGCGCCGUUACAAAUAAGUGGAAGUUCCUCGGAAGAGUAAGAGAACGCGACAAUCAUAACGUAAUCUAUCUCUUCACUUUCUCAAUCCUUUUCUAUCUUUUUUUUCUUUCUGGGUUCCUUGUACUUCUCAUAAAUAUUAAGAGUUUAAUUCAAAAGAAAGGAACUUUCUCUUUCAUUGCUUACAUUUUUUUUUUCAGAUUAUUUACUUUCCCUUCCUUGCAGUUGCUUGGAAGAAACCAAGCUCAGAAGACCUUUGUUUUUUGAGAAUUCAGUUCAAUCCGUUUAUAUAUAUAUAUAUAUAUGGUGUUGAUGAUUUACCAGAAGUGAUAGUGCUUCAACCGAGAAGAAGAAGCUUUUAGUCUUCAGAAAUUCAGAGAAAAGAUAAGGAAGUGGAAGAGUGAAGGAAAAGCAAAUCAAAAGAUGGGAGAAACUGCUCCUCAUCCUCCACCACAGGUGGUUGCUCGGCCGUCUCAGAUGCCUCUUGGGGCAGCGAAGGGUCCCCAUUUGGACUCCAACUGAGCAGCUCCACAACCUUCAGUAUUGCAUCCACUCCAACCCCUCUUAGCGUUAGUCUCUCUCUGUUUCUGUUAAUUUCUUCGUUCUGGGUUUUAUAUUUUUUGAGUAAAAAGCUGAUUAAAGUUGUGCUAUUUUAAUGGGUUGGUUUAAAAGUUGAAGCUUUUGGCACUACUUCUUAUUUAGUUUACUAGUUUGCUUUUUAUUCCUAAUUUUGCAAAUUACUUUUACUAUUUUUGUUUCGGAUUCUCUAAUUUAUUGUGUUCGAAUCUUUUUAAGUACUGUAAUUAGUUCUAAUAAAAUAAUAAGCAUAUGUUCCAUUACCAGUUUCAACUUAUCCUGCUUACAAGACAUCGAUAUCACUCGAAAAUGUUUAGGAAGUGUAAACGUAAAUUUCCCAUGUUUAUCAAAUGCAACAAACUGCUUCUAAUGGAUCGAAUUUUACAGCGGAAACAUUCGUACUCGCUUUUCAGCACUAUAUUGUGAUGCUCGGAUCCAUAGUUAUAAUUGCCACUAGUUUCGUGCCUCGGAUGGGUGGGGAUCAUGUAAGUUAUGUCCUCUAUACAGUAAAGUUUAUAAUAUGCCGGUUAAGAUUAGCGAUCACACACGUAGCUUUGAAUCCGUGAUGUUAAUGUUUGGGUUUUGUUCUCCCUUUGUGAUCAGGGUGACAAGGCACGCGUGAUUCAGACGAUGCUGUUUAUGGCAGCAAUAAACACUUUGAUCCAAACAUUCACGGGACAAGGCUUCCAACAGUGAUGACUUCGUCAUUCGCUUUUACCCUUCCGGUGAUGUCAAUCAUCAAUGAUUAUUCUGAUCGGAAUUUUAGAAGUGAACAUGAGGUAUGUAAAGUUUGAAACAUGUUAUUCAUAGAGGAUUUAACAUCACAUUAAUUUACUUCUUAAAUUGCUUUAAGAAAUUUCAGUUAUAGACUUUGAGAUGAAAAAUACGUGGUGCAAAAAACGUGUAAACCUUACAUACCUGUAGAAGACGUCAUGAUGAAUUUCUGGUUUUGAGGACGGAAUAGAUUGAAGCACGUCCAUGCACUGUUGCGUCAUAUGCAACAAACUGAUGGGGAGUUCUAGGGUUGUGGCAUUAGCAAUGUGACAGGGACCUCAAACUUACAUAGGCCUCACGUCCCUAGAACCCUACCCACUAAUGGAGACUAGAAACUCUUAUGAUCCUCUAACGAGAAUAAUAAAGCCAAUGGAAAUGUUAGCACACAAUUGUUGUACAUAUAACAGACUUCGAGCAAUUUUUGGAACACGUAAAACAUUGUUAAGAAUAAGAUCAUGAGUAUUGGUUUUAAUGGUUGUUGCAUCAAUAUUCUUAAUGGAUAAACCUGUUCCAUUUCCAACUGUGAUUUUAUCAAAACCUUGGAAUGGUGUAACUUGAUUCAAUGUGGUGGCAUCAGCAGUGAUAUGAUGAGAUGCACCAGUAUCAACAAUCCAUGCAUCAUGAGGAAUAUAUUGUUCUAUCUGCUGUGUUGCCAUAGCUGUUAAGUUUGCAGGUGGUUGUUGGCCUUGAAAAACAUAAUUCCCUUUGUGAUAACAUUCAAGAGCUGAGUGACCUUUUUUUCCCACAAAUCUGACACUCCAUUUGAAAUCUAGUAUUUGGUGUAGUAGCAUUUCUGUGAAAACAAUUGACUGCAGUAUGCCCUUUCUUGUUGCAGAUUUGGCACUCAAUCACUGUUGUUGACCUGCUCUCUGUGUUUCCAUUCCACACAUUUGAACCAUUUGACCUUGAAUUGCCAUACGAAAAAUCAGAAGAGUUUCCUAUGUUGUAACCCUUGCUUUUGAAUCCACCAUUUGUCUUGUAAUUAUUGUUACCCUUGUAGUUUGAACCACCAAAAGGUUUCUGCAUGAAAUGAGGUAUUGGACCAGAAUUUGAUGCAUUAGCCAUAAACCCAAAACCAUAGGGAACUUGAGGAUAAACUGGACCAGGAAAUUGCGGAGACAUAGGAGGUUGAGGCAUAUGAGGUUGCUGUGGAUAUUGUUGUGGCAAGACAAAUGGCUGUGGUUAUUGUGGCUGUGGAUAUUGUUGUGGAUAUUGCUGUGGUAAAACAAAUGGCUCAGCAGAAUAUGGAUAUGGAUUAGGAGUUAUAACACCACCAGUGGUUGCAGGUAAAUGACUAUGCCCUGCAGGAUUAGACCCUGAAGCAAAUGAAUUUCCCUGAGUUGACUAAGAACCCUAAACAUAUAAGGCAGAUAGACUUUGAGACCCAACACUUGUGUCUCAUUCAAUCUCUUUUUCAGCUCUAAAUUUUUUCAAGGAAAUGGAUGAUUCUUUGCCAUAUAUCACAGUUCGAAUAGUUGCAUACUCCUUCGGCAAACCAGCUAAACCAGCAAUUAUAACAUCAUUAUCAGAAAUGAACUCUCCAGUAGCAGUUAAUUGUUCUCUUAUACUCUUCAAUCUUAACAGAUAUUUAUCCAUCAAAUCUCCUCAUUUUUGAAUGGUGUACAACUCAAUUUUUAAAUGAUUUACCCUAGUUUUAGACACUGAAGCAAAUCUAUCCACAAGAUUCGACCAAGCCUCACAAGCAGUUAAACAUCCAAGAACAUAUUUAAUAGCCUCAUCAAACAAAGUAGCUAGUAAAAGACUUAGUAAUGGAUAUGUGGAUUCCCAUUCAACAUAUUCAGCAAGUUCAGAAGUAACUCCUCUCUUAGUAUCUAUUACAAAUUUUUGUGGACAACCAAUAGUGCCAUCAAAAUGCCCAAACAAUUUAUGACCUUUCAACACAUAUUUGAACUGAAAAGCCCAUUUCACAAAAUUAUCAUCCUUCAACUUUAUUGUGAUCAUUCCCAGUUUCAACUUUAACACUUGAAGUAGUCAUGAUUUCUUGAUCGAACACAUAGAAUUUGCAAAUAACAAACAAACACCCAAAAAUUUCUGAUAUACGUAUUGAAAGGAAAGACUGAAACUUUCUCACAACCCAAGCAAGACUGAAACUCGCUUAAUACUCAGGAAAAACUGAAACUUUCUUGAUGAAUCUUGCACACAAAUACAACACACAAUUCCAAUUCGGAAAAGAAAACACAAAAUCUUCUAAUCAGGACUGAAACCCAAUUACUCAACAGAAAUUCACACUAUCACUUGAAUUGCAGCUGUGAUUGCAGCCACAAAUAGCCAGAAUACCAACCGCCAGAAAGAACAACAAGGAUCUGCAAUCGCCAGAACUUUUGAACAAACCCGUUGAAAAGACCUUUCAGAAUCCUUGAACUGGAUAGCAGCGAAAGAACUAGGAUCGAAAACGGUAGUGAACCAUGGUCAGCGAUGAUACCAUAUUAACAGUGUUGAAUUGUGGCCAAGUGGCCAUCACCUUUCGGCUAAUAAACAAACAAAGAAAAGAAAAAGAAAGACAAAAUGAUGAGGAAACAUCAUGAUGAGGAGGCAUCAUGAUUAUGCUUUCUUGUAGUUUUUUAAUAACCAUAAUUAUUGUUUUUGUUUCGGGUAGAAGAGAAGAAAGGGAGAGCUCAUUUUUUAGAAGAAAGCAUAUUAAAGAGAGAAGAGGAGAGAGAGAAGGUAGAGCCUUUUGGUUAUAAAAGGCAUUCGAUUAUGCCUUUGGAUGUGGGAGGGGGGGGAGCGGCAGAUGAGAGAGCACAGGGAGAGCAUUCGGCUCUCCCAUUUGAAUAUGAGCUGCUCCUUCCCACCAUUUGUAAUAAUCCCAUUUUGUUAGUAAUCACUCAAUCAAAGAUGUUGGUGCUACUUGUGUAGCUUUUGGGAGAGAAGGAUUUUGAUAUGUGUUUCUUCUUCUCCAUUUGUUUCUUAGUUUGAGUGAGAGCUAUUGGGUGUAUGUGGGAUUUGGGUUUGAGUGUUGAACUCUAUUUGUAAUCUCCUUUUGAUAUUAAUGGAAUUUCCUCGCCGUCUCGGAACUGGAUGUAGGCUUACGCCAAACCAGUAUAAAAAUCCUUGUGUCUUUUGGAUUAUUUGUCUUGUCAUAUUUUGCCGUUAUUAGCUUUGAUUUCAUAUUUGAAGCUUCCGCACAACAAGUGGUAUCAAAGCUCCGGGUUUCGACUUGGAGGCUUUGUACUAGUAUGUCUAUGAAAUCUUCAAAUGACGGUGAAAUAUGUUUUUUGGAAAAAUUCGACUGGAGGAAUGACUUUGGCAUUUGGUCAAUUGGAGAUGCAGAGUUUGGCUGCAAAAUGCGUGGCGUUGAAGAAGGAUAGUAAGGGACUAUGCUGCAGUCAUUGAGCUUGCAGAUUGGAGAAUGGUUUCGGAAACAGCGUGUCUGCUGCAAUGUUGCCGUCGAUGUUGUUGAAGUGUUGGUGUUCGACAGCUGCAGAUGUAGUGUACUGCUUUUGGUGGGUUCUCUGUUGGUCAUCGCUGCACCGGAGGUGUUUGUGGGCUGUUGUCGACGAGUUGAGUGGGAAGGAGAAAAGGUAGAAGCAGUUGAAAAUUGAAAAGAAAAUGUUGGUUCUUUUUCUUUCGGCAUUUGUUUUGGCAGAAGGACAUCAUGAUGACAAAUGAUGUUGUUGGCUGGAAGAAAAGGGAAAAAGGCUAAGGCUAAGUUUUCUUUUCUUUGGCAUUUUUUCAACGGCAGAAAAUUUUUGGUUCUUUUUUCACUCCCAUUAGUUGCCUUUGGAGCAAGUUGAUGGAAACAUUGGAGGAGUUUGUGAGGGCCAAUUUGUUGAGUUCUGCAAGUUUGGAUAGUGAGGCACCACACUAUUUUGGAUACACCACAUGCACUGCAGAACAUUUGUGUGGAACCCUCUUGUAGAAGGCAAGUUAUAUGCUUUCUAACUUUGUUUGGUCUAUGGACAUUUAGUUGGAUUUGUUUGCCACUGCUAUUUGGUUUGUUGGUCUCCAUCAUCUGCAAUUAGUUUUCUUGAAGACUCCAGUUGAGGUAUGGUUUUGGAUCUCCUGCUGAUUAUUUGAAUUUGAAAUUUUUGGUUGUCCUGUUGGUGCUCAUGUGAUGAUGGUAAACUUGAGUGGAGGGCAUAGUUUUUUUGUAUGUGGUAUGUUAGACCUUGUUGCCAAAUUUGUAAUCAGUUUUGACUUGGAGAAUAUGCCGUGCUAUUUGAAUGAGUCUAUUGAUGCAGUUUAAGACCAUGGUGUUUGUAAGCAGGUGGAGUUCGUUCUGUGUCCAACUUUGGUAUGGUGUGCUUGAUCUUUUGUUAGUGAUAUUGAAGAAUUUCAGUUCUUCGUUUGAAUCACUUUUGUUUUGAUCAAGGCACUUAUGGUUUGCAAAUUUGGAGAAUACGGUAGAGAAAUGGUCUACUUUUGUUGGCUUUGGUAUAAUUUGAGUCGAGGUGGAGAUCAUUAUGAGUACCGGAAAGUUUGGGGAAUUUGAUUUAGUUCCCGUUGUCUUUAGUUUGUACUUUGGGUGAUUAUGGUGAUUGUUGAUUCGAUUCUCUGUGAUGGUUUCGGAACUUGGCCAAGGUGGAGAUUGUUGAAUUGUGGCCAAGUGGCCAUCAUCGGCUAAUAAACAAACAAAAGAAAAGAAAAAGAAAGACAAAAUGAUGAGGAAACAUCAUGAUGAGGAGGCAUCAUGAUUAUGCUUUCUUCUUUUGUGGUUUUUUAAUAACCAUAAUUAUUGUUUGUUUAUUAGCCGAAAGGUGAUGGCCACUUGGCCACAAUUCAACAAUCUCCACCUUGGCCAAGUUCCGAAACCAUCACAGAGAAUCGAAUCAACAAUCACCAUAAUCACCCAAAGUACAAACUAAAGACAACGGGAACUAAAUCAAAUUCCCCAAACUUUCCGAUACUCAUAAUGAUCUCCACCUUGACUCAAAUUGUACCAAAGCCAACAAAAGUAGACCACUUCUCUACCGUCUUCUCCAAAUUUAAAUCCUAUGAAGAAAGGGAGAGCUCAUUUUUUAGAAGAAAGCAGAUUGAAGAGAGAAGAGGAGAGAGAAGGUAGAACCUUUUGGUUAUAAAAGGCAUUCGAUUAUGCCUUUGGAUGUGGGGAGAGCGGCAGAUGAGAGAGCACAGGGAGAGCAUUCGGCUCUCCCAUUUGAAUAUGAGUUGCUCCUUCCCACCAUUUGUAAUAAUCCAAUUUUGUUAGUAAUCACUCAAUCAAAGAUGUUGGUGCUACUUGUGUAGCUUUUGGGAGAGAAGGAUUUUGAUAUGUGUUUCUUCUUCUCCAUUUGUUUCUUAGUUUGAGUGAGAGCUAUUGGGUGUAUGUGGGAUUUGGGUUUGAGUGUUGAACUCUAUUUGUAAUCUUCUUUUGAUAUUAGUGGAAUUUCCUCGCCGUCUCGGAACUGGAUGUAGGCUUAUGCCGAACCAGUAUAAAAAUCCUUGUGUCUUUUGGAUUAUUUGUCUUGUCAUAUUUUGCCAUUAUUAGCUUUGGUUUCAUAUUUGAAGCUUCAGCAAUACAAACAGUACAAGAUCAAUGAAUUCCUAUGAAUGAAUAAACUAAAGAAAUCGAAGAAAGAGAAUAACGAGAGAGAAAAGCUUUUCAUUUAUAUUGCUCUAACAGAAAAUGAUUACAUGAUAAAAAUCUAAGUCUCCAAAACAAUAAUUAUAUAGAGACUAGAAUGAGCAGAAUCACAAUAUUGCCUUUCUAACUAAUUCUUAUCUUCUAACAACCUCAACACUCACAAGCUUGACACUUGUCAUUUCUUACAACCACUCCUAACAAAUCCUAACUGUUUAUCUGGUUAAUAUAACGGAUGGCCGACGACCGACACCGAGAUUUUCCCAAACCUUGGUCCUUACUCUCGUAUAAAUUCGAAACGAACAGUAAACAAUUUUCUCGCAAUCGGAAGCACGGCAAACAUGGAUCUGAGAGAAAGCAUCAUCAACCAAAACGACGUCGCAAGGAGGCUGACGAAGCAGCUGGUUCAGACCGAAGGCAAGCAGUCGAACCUCGUGUACUCGCCGCUGUCCAUCCACGUGGUGCUGAGCCUGAUCGCAGCCGGGUCAAAGGGUCCCACCCAGGAGCAGCUGCUCUCAUUCCUCAAGUCAGAGUCCACCGACCACCUCAACUCCUUCGCCUCCCAGCUCCUGCCCUUUAUCUUCUCCGAUGGGUCCCCCGUGGGCGGCCCCAAGCUGGCGUUUGCGAAUGGCGUUUGGGUGCAGAAGCCUCUCCCUCUGAAGCCUUCCUUCAAGCAGGUGGUGGAAGCUUCUUACAGGGCCGCUCUCGUCCUAGUUGAUUUUCAGACCAAUGUAAGCUCCCAAACCCUCUGUCAUGUCGUUUCGAUUGUUUUUGUCGAUGCUGCUCAUGAUCAAAGUCUUUGGUUGUAAUUUCAGACCAAUGUUUCAAUGUCGAUGCUGCUGAUGCUCUUUUGUUCGUUACUGUUUUUGGUUGUAAUUGAUCGAGAUAUGCAGGUUGAUAUCAUUGUUUUCUAACUUGUCGUAACUGUUGUUGGUGCUCAAGGCUGCUCAAGUGGAGUCGGAAGUGAAUUCAUGGGCUGAAAAGGAGACGAGCGGCCUUAUCAAGGAUCUACUUCCUCCCGGGUCACUUGACAGCUUCACCAGGCUCAUCUUUACCAAUGCAUUAUACUUCAAGGGAGCUUGGAAUGAGAAAUUUGAUGCAACAGCUACAAAAGAGCAUGACUUCCACCUUCUCGACGGGAGCACAGUUAAGGCGCCCUUCAUGACCAACAAGAACCAGCAGUAUGUAAGUGCCUUUGACGGUUUCUCAGUCUUAGGGCUUCCUUACAAACAAGGUGAAGACAAGCGGCGCUUCUCCAUGCACAUCUUUCUUCCACAGGAGAAAGAUGGGCUGCCAGCUUUGGUUGAGAAACUUGGCUCUGAGUCCGGGUUUUUAGAUCGCUAUCUUCCCAAACAACCAGUUGCAGUGGGCGACUUCAGAAUCCCAAAGUUUAAGAUCUCAUUUGGGUUUGAAGCUUCCAAUGUCCUAAAGAGUCUGGGACUGGUGCUGCCUUUCGUGGGUGGAGGUCUGACAGAGAUGGUGGACUCGCCCGAGGGUAAGAAGCUAUAUGUUUCCAACAUAUUCCACAAGUCGUUCAUCGAAGUGAAUGAAGAAGGCACAGAAGCUGCAGCUGCUUCUGCCGGCGUUAUAAGUGAUAGGAGGAUGCCCAUGACAUUUGUGGCUGAUCGUCCGUUCCUCUUCACGAUCAGGGAAGAAACGACCGGAACAGUUCUGUUCAUCGGUAACCUGCUCAACCCUCUUGCCGGCUGAGUGUUACAAUCCCCUGGGAAAAGGCAUCAUGUGUACGUAGAAUAAUACGAGAGUAUAGUAAAUAAAAUGUAUGAUCCUUGUAUACAUGUGCUAGGUUUGGUUAUUACCUAAUCACCCUGUACUUGCCGCAGUUGGUCUUGUUUCUCCCAUGUGGCGAUUGUUGCUCGUUCUCCCAUGGCGUUUAUCUAUUUGUACAAUCUUGAUUCUGAAUACUUAUUUUAUGUUGUACUCUGUUUGAACAAUUAAAGUUUUAGCCGACUGCAAACGUCGGUUAAGUGUUAAAGUAUUUGGACAGGGAUUGUCUGCUUUUUCAUUUUUCGUGUCCUUCUGUUUUGUGUGUUCACAGUUAAACUACGUCAAUAUUUUAUAUUAUUUUUUUAUAGAAAUAAUAAGAUAAAAAUAAAUAAUAAUAUAAAAUAUUAACGUGACUUAACUGUAACCACACAAACAGGAGGGCACGGAAGACCACCGGAAGUGGAAGAGCGGACAUUCUUGUCCAAAGUAUUUAAUAUAUAGAAUGUACGAGUGCUAGUGCUGUACCAUAUACAUGGUUGGUGAUGAAAAGGAUUAAACUAUGAAUAUUCUAUAAAAUAUUAUUUACCCUAGGACGAGGAUUUUCUUUGGAUCUUCUUUACGAGGAUCUUAGGAAUUAAUUCAUUUUAACGGUUUAUUGUACAUCGUACGGUCAACUUUCGUUAGAUACUUUUUAUGUUUAAUUUUAAAUAAAUUCAAAAUAAUUUUUCACUGCAUGAUGCAUUGAUUCCUAAAGCACUCGCAAAGAGACUCCAGAUGUUUAGUUCUCCAUGACUGGAGAUGGCCUAAGAUGCUAAACACUUAACACUAACCAAUUUUUCCGGUUAGUUAAAUUGUUUAAUAAAUGCUAUCCACACUCUAAAAUAAUUGACCAUAUUUUCUUGACUCUUUUGUUAGAUUGCAUGAAAUAUUGUUCGAGUAAAUAAUCUCUCAAGUAUCACUCAGACUUCAUAAUGAUUUUGAUUUUGAUUACAUAGUAAGCAUGUCAUUAAGGUCAAAUUUUGAACAAACACCCAAUUACAUAGCACGCAUGUUAUUAUGGUGUAUGCUCAUUGUCACUUUCAAAACUUGACACCUGUCUACUAACAUAACCGAUGGCCGACGACCGACACCUUCCCAAACCUUGGUCCUUACCCUCGUAUAAAUUCGAAACGAACAGUAAACAAUUUUCUCGCAAUCGGAAGCACGGCAAACAUGGAUCUGAGAGAAAGCAUCAUCAACCAAAACGACGUCGCAAGGAGGCUGACGAAGCAGCUGGUUCAGACCGAAGGCAAGCAGUUGAACCUCGUGUACUCGCCGCUGUCCAUCCACGUGGUGCUGAGCCUGAUCACAGCCGGGUCAAAGGGUCCCACCCAGGAGCAGCUGCUCUCAUUCCUCAAGUCAAAGUCCACCGAUCACCUCAACUCCUUCGCCUCCCAGCUAGUGUCCGUGAUCUUCUCCGAUGGGUCCCCCGUGGGCGGCCCCAAGCUGGCGUUUGCGAAUGGGCUUUGGGUGCACAAGCCUCUCACGCUGAAGCCUUCCUUCAAGCAGGUGGUGGACGCUUCUUACAAGGCAGCUCUCGCCCUAGUCGAUUUUCAGACUAAUGUAAGCUCCCAAACCCUCUGUCAUGUCGUUUCGAUAGUUUUUUUUUCAAUGCUGCUCAUGAUCAAAGUCCUGAAUUUUUUUUCCCGAUUUGAUUAGAGAUGUAUAAAUAUUUCCUAAAUUGCAGGCCUGCUGAUGCUCUUUUAUUCUUGUAGCAUUUCAACUAAAUAUUUCCUCUCUAAUCAUUACUGUUUGUGCUUGUUCUUGUGCAUAGCCGUUACGAAAUCGUAUCGAAGAUUUUUUUGUUCGUUACUGUUUGUGGUUAUAAUCUAGGUAUUAAAUAUUGAUAAUAUCGGAAAUAUCGGUAGUCCAGAAACACGGAAAUAUUGAUGGAAAUAUCGGGAUAUUAUCGAUAUGUAUAAAAAUAAUAUGGAAACCACGGAAAUUGUAAGAAAAACUUGGAAAUUUUUAUUGAAACUUUGCAGGAUGUUUAUUUAGUCAAUUAUCUAUUAGUUUAUCACAAAAUAUUGGAAGGAAAUGUAUUACAUAAUAGAUUUAACUGAUUUAAGUUGAUUAUAUAGCGAACUAGCGAACUACCAAACAUUAUGAGUUAGAAAAUAUGUAGUAAUUAAUAAAAGAAGUUUAAACACACAGUCACCGACUAUUAAAAAUUGUACAUGUAAAAGCUGUAAAAGUUGAAUUAUUUAGAUGCUUUUUUUUCUUACAUGCCACCCACACACACACACACACAGACUCUCACACGCCAACACACACGCACACACAGAUCACACACACAUCACACACACAGACAGAGACUGAGGUCUCUCUUUCUCGAUCCUUCUCUCUUCUCUCUCGAUCCUUCUCCCUUCUCUUCGACAGAGACUGAGGUCUAUCUCUCUCUCGAUCCUUCUCUCUUCUCUCCCUUCUCCAUUCUCCCACACACACACCCAGAUCUCUCGAUCUCUCUUCUCCCUUCUCCCACACACACGCACAGAGACCUCGCCCCUCCCCCCUCGUCAUCGUCUCCACCGCAAAUCUAGGUCUUUGAACGUAAAUUGCAGGCCUGCUGAUGCUCUUUUAUUCUUGUAGCAUUUCAACUAAAUAUUUCCUCUCUAAUCAUUACUGUUUGUGCUUGUUCUUGUGCAUAGCCGUUACGAAAUCAUAUCGAAGAUUUUUUGUUUGUUACUAUUUGUGGUUAUAAUCUAGGUAUUAAAUAUUGGUAAUAUCGGUAGUCCAGAAACACGGAAAUAUUGAUGGAAAUAUCGGGAUAUUAUCGAUAUGUAUAAAAAUAAUAUGGAAACCACGGAAAUUGUAAGAAAAACUUGAAAAUUUUUAUUGAAACUUUGCAGGAUGUUUAUUUAGUCAAUUAUCUAUUAGUUUAUCACAAAAAAAUUGGAAGGAAAUGCAUUGCAUGAUAGAUUUAACUGAUUUAAGUUGAUUAUAUAGCGAACUAGCGAACUAGCAAACAUUAUGAGUGUAGAAAAUAUGUAGUAAUUAAUGAAAGAAGUUUAAACACACAGUCACCGACUAUUAAAAAUUGUACAUGUAAAAGCUGUAAAAGUUGAAUUAUUUAGAUGUUUUUUUUUCUUACAUGCCAUCCACACACACACACACACACAGACUCUCACACGCCAACACACACCACGCAUACACAGAUCACACACACAGACAGAGACUGAGGUCUCUCUCUCUCGAUCCUUCUCUCUUCUCUCUCGAUCAUUCUCCAUUCUCUCUCGACCUAGACUGACUCUCUCUCUCUCUCUCUCUCUCUCUCUCUCUCUCUCUCUCUCUCUUUCCCACACACACACAGAUCUUUCGAUCUCUCUUCUCCCUUCUCCCACACACACGCACAGAGACAUCGUCCUUCGUCAUCGUCAUCGUCUCCCACACACACGCACAGAGACCUCGCCCCUCGUCAUCGUCUCCACCGCAAAUCUAGGUCUUUGAACGUAAAUUGCAGGCCUGCUGAUGCUCUUUUAUUCUUGUAGCAUUUCAACUAAAUAUUUCCUCUCUAAUCAUUACUGUUUGUGCUUGUUCUUGUGCAUAGCCGUUACGAAAUCGUAUCGAAGAUUUUUUGUUCAUUACUGUUUGUGGUUAUAAUCUAGGUAUUAAAUAUUGGUAAUAUCGGAAAUAUCGGUAGUCCAGAAACAUGGAAAUAUUGAUGGAAAUAUCGGGAUAUUAUCGAUAUGUAGAAAAAUAAUAUGGAAACCACAAAAAUUGUAAGAAAAACUUGAAAAUUGUUAUUGAAACUUUGCAGGAUGUUUAUUUAGUCAAUUAUAUAUUAGUUUAUCACAAAAAAUUGGAAGGAAAUGCAUUGCAUGAUAGAUUUAACUGAUUUAAGUUGAUUAUAUAGCGAGCUAGCAAACAUUAUGAGUAGAAAAUAUGUAGUAAUUAAUGAAAGAAGUUUAAACACACAGUCACAGACUAUUAAAAAUUGUACAUGUAAAAGCUGUAAAAGUUGAAUUAUUUAGAUACUUUUUUUUCUUACACGCCACCCACCCACACACACACACACACUCUCACACGCCAACACACACGCACACACAUACACACAUCACACACAGACAGAGACUGAGGUCUCUCUUUCUCGAUCCUUCUCUCUUCUCUCUCGAUCAUUCUCCCUUCUCUCCGACAGAGACUGAGGUCUCUCUCUCUCUCUCGAUCCUUCGCUCUUCUCUCCCUUCUCCAUUCUCCCACACACACACACAGAGAUCUCUCGAUCUCUCUUCUCCCUUCUCCCACACACACGCACAGAGACAUCGUCCCUUGUCAUCGUCAUCGUCUCCCACACACACAUACACAGACCUCGCCCCUCGCCCCUCGUCAUCGUCUCCAUCGCAGAUCUAGGUCUUUGAAUGUCAAAGUUUCGAGCGCACCUCAAAUCCAGGCAAUCUGAUUCUGACGCUGUAGUCGUCGCCGCCACCACCAACUUCCUAAGCCAAGAAUGGAGAACCUGAUCUCGUUGGUGAACAAAAUCCAGAGGGCUUGUACUACUCUAGGGGACUAUGGCGAAGGUAGUGCAUUCGUCGUCGCCGUCGUCGCCAUCGCCGUCAGUGGUCAGAUCAACUCCCGGUCCCUCACCUUCUUACCUCUUCGAUUGAUUCAUGCAUAUGAAUUGUGGUUGUGUUUUCAAUCGCUCUGUAGCUUAGAUCUUGAUCUUAAUCAUGUUUUUGCAAGGUUUUUGGGAUGAAAUCGGCUCGGGAAUCGGCACACCCAUUUCCGGCGUUCUUCUCCGAGUAGCCAGUUCCAAAAAUAUCGUGAUAAUUUCGGAAAUAUUACGAUAUUAUCGAUAGUAUAGCUAUAUUUUGACGAAAACCCUUUGGAUACCUAUUAAAAUAUCGGUCCGGCGAAAAACCGAUAAUAUCGACGAUAUAUUGGCGAUUUUGUUCCUUGGUUAUAAUUGAUCGAGAUAUGCAGGCUGAUAUCAUUGUUUUCUAACUUGUCGUAACUGUUGUUGGUGCUCAAGGCUGCUCAAGUGGCGUCGGGAGUGAAUUCAUGGGCUGAAAAGGAGACGAGCGGCCUUAUCAAGGAUCUACUUCCUCCCAGGUCACUUGACAGCUCAACCAGGCUCAUCUUUACGAAUGCAUUGUACUUCAAAGGAGCUUGGACUGAGAAAUUUGAUGCAUCAGCUACAAAAGAGCAUGACUUCCACCUUCUCGACGGGAGCACAGUUAAGGCGCCCUUCAUGACCAGCAAGAGGAAGCAGUAUGUAAGUGCCUUUGACGGUUUCUCAGUCUUAGGGCUUCCUUACAAACAAGUUGAAGACAAGCGGCGCUUCUCCGUGCACAUCUUUCUUCC
Molecule: long non-coding RNA, 61899 nt
Filed under: Malus domestica (apple)
Lineage: Eukaryota; Viridiplantae; Streptophyta; Magnoliopsida; Rosales; Rosaceae
Description: long non-coding RNA (MDOM_LNC007255)
Source: RNAcentral